UUUUUUUUUUUGUUCUUUACAACGCUUACUUUAUUAGUAAACUAAUAUAUUUUUCUAGUAAAUUAAUUUCAUAUUUUUUUUCAAAUAAAUAAACUAAAAUUGAAGAAGAGCAAUAAGUAGCUAGAGCUUUUAUAUGAUCAAAAUGACGUGAAAAACGAAAGAAAUAAAUAUAUAUAUAUUUUUAUUAAAACAUGUUAUUUAUUUUUUGCGUUAAGAUAAGUUUAACUAAAAUUAUAAAAAAAAUUAAUGGUAAACUAUUAUAAAUGUAACAUUUUAGGGAGAACGAAAUAAACAAAAUAUUAUUUUUUCUUGACUUAUAAUAAUAACGAUAAUAAAUAUAUGGUUAAAAUAUUACUUGAAAAAAUUAUAAAAGAAUCAUAAAAAAUAAUUAAUCAAUUGUAAUUAUUUUUCCAUUUAGGCUGAGUAAAAUAACUUAGAAUCAUUAAAAAUAAGAUAAAAUUGUAAAAAUUUCACCUUAGGAAUAUAAGACGGAUGAUUAUCUUAUAUGAGUAUAUUGAUACCAUUUGUUUUUAGAGUAUAAUAAAAUAAUAAUUAAAUAAUUAAAAAAGGCAUUUUUCAUCAUCUUACAUCCGCUUGUGAAGUUUUUUUUUACUUCACUAGCAGUGGACCAAAUAAUUACCUAUAAAACAUUACCUAAUAAAGAAAUGGUAAUGAAAUUACUCCAACAUAUAUUUUAGAAUAUUGUCACUAUUGAGAAUAUAAUUUUGGAAUUCAAAUUAGGAAGGGUAAACUAUACAAAUGGUCACCCAACUAUUUUCAUGUUCUUAUUUUAGUUAUUCAACUUUAAAAAUUUUUAAUUUAAGCACUAACGCUUGGAUUUGUUCUUGUUUAGGUCACUCACCAUUAAAUUGAUAACGAAAAGCCUUUUUUUAACUAAUACAAUAACACAUGUAGUCUUCAAUACUUUGCAUAUUCUAUCAAUUUGAUCCUAAUUCCAAAUAAUUUAAUAAAUUUAACCCUUCACAUUUUCAAAUUCUAUCAAUUUAAUUCUCAAACUUCCUAGCCAAAACUUUUAGCUUUUAAAAUAGAGUCAUUUCAUAUUUAUAAAGUUGUAAAACUCAAAAAAGAAAAACAAAAUUCUCUUAACUAAUAAGUUGUUUUCCGAGCCAAUUCUUGAUACCAAUGAGUUUAUCUUGAAACUUUAUUUUUUUUCAUUAAUUUUCUUCUAAAUAUAAUAUUUUAUAACAUUUUGAUUGAUAAAAAUUUGGCUAAAGAAAGUGGAAAAACCUUAAUAAAACACUUUAGAUUUACUAUUGUUAACAAUAUGAUAUUUCCUUCAAAGUACAUAGAAAUAGUCCUCAAAGUUGGUUAUUGAAAUUGGAAACUCAAUCUAGAGUUAAAAAAUAUGACUUUGAAAAUUUUAAAUAUGACUUAUAUAAGAAAAAAUUAUGAACAUUUAAAUUUUCAUAAGAAAAAAAUGCAAAAGAAUUAAUUGAAUUUCCUUUUGUUACAUUCAUAAUUAUUUUUUUAAUUUUAUAAAUUGAUUAAGAGAUUAUUAUGUGUUCUAUUUGUUUUUAACUUUUAAAUCCAUAAUAGGCAAUACGUAUCACUAAUAAUCCGAUUUAGUGUCAAAUCAUUUACUAAAUUAAUUAAAAACUAAAAUUAUGCUAGUCAGAGUAAAAAAAUUAUUUUUUACAAAUAUUAAAUUAUUUAUAUAAUUUUAAAAUUUAUAUUCUCUAUUAUUUUUAAUGGUGUUUAGUUAAUUUCUAACACUAACUUCUUAAAAAUAUAAACAAAAGGGGUUAUGUACCGAAUUAGAUAAUUUCAACCAUAGAGAAAACAAUUAAUAGAUGUGGAAUGUCUUUGUUUUAAAAUCUGAAAGCUUUGGUUUGGAAGUUUGAGGAUGAAAUUGAUAGAAUUUAUAAAUGUGAAGGGUUAAAUUUAUUGAAUUAUUUAGAAUUAGGAUCAAUUUGAUAGAAUAUGAAAGUAUUGAGGACUAAAUGUGUUAUUAUACCAGUUAGAAAAAGGCUUCCGUUAUCAAUUUAACAACAGGUGACCAAAAUAGUAAAAAAUUCAAAUUUUAGUGCCUAAAUUGAAAAUGAUUAAAGUUGGGUAACCAAAACAUGAACACGAACAUAAUUGGGUGACUAUUAUUAGAAUUUACCCAAUUAAGAAAUGUUAUUCUGAAUUUUUUUGGUGAAUUACAAUAACAAAGUAAAGUCUGAAAAAUAAAUACGACUAACGCAAUUUGAACUCAGACUACACCUAGGGCGGUCAAACACCUGGAAUGUACGACUACUUUUAACCUAAAUGCUAUUGAACAAAAUUAACAACUCGUUGAAUGUUUGAUGUAUAUUUUCACCCUAAAAUGCAACGAUUGGAUAAAUUUUGAAUGGAAACUGAUUUGGUAUUUUCAACUUUUCAUUAUAAUAUUUAUUCCAAAAAGAGUUUUAUAUAUUUAGGAAUUUAUAUAUAUUGGUUUAAAAUAAACUUGAAAUGCUGCUAAAGAUAAAAGAAGAAGUCAAGAAACAAUUUGAUGCGGGCUUCUUACAAGUCUCAAAAUAUCCAGAAUGGGUAGCUAACAUAGUCCCAGUACCAAAGAAAGACAGCAAGGUACGAAUGUGCGUGGAUUAUCGCGAUCUGAAUCGAGCAAGCCCUAAGGAUAAUUUUCCUUUGCCACACAUCGAUACGUUGAUAAUUUUCCUUUGCCACACAUCGAUACGUUGGUGGAUAAAACAACAAAACAUUCUUUAUUUUCUUCUAUGGAUGGUUUCUUGGGUUAUAAUCAGAUAAAGAUGGCUACCGAAGAUAUGGAGAAAACCACGUUCGUGAUAAUGUAGGAAACGUUUUGCUAUAAGGUGAUGCCAUUUGGAUUGAAGAAUGCUGGGGCAAUAUAUCAGAGAGCCAUGGUGAUGCUACUCCAUGACAUUAUACACAAAGAAAUAGAAGUUUAUGUCGAGGAUAUGAUUGCCAAAUCUCGAGAAGAAAAAGAGCAUGUUGGGAACCUUAGGAAGCUAUUCGAAAGAUUAAGAAAGUUCCAGCUGAAGCUUAACCCAACCAAGUGUACGUUUGGGGCUACCUCGAGAAAAUUGCUAGGUUUCAUUGUCAGCGAGAGGGGUAUUGAGGUCGAUCCAGAUAAGAUAAAGGCCAUACAAGAACUGCCACCUCCGCUUACACAAAAAGAAGUCAGAGGAUUUUUAGGAAGGUUUAAUUACAUUGCUCGAUUCAUUGCUCAACUUACCAACCAGUGUGAUCCAAUUUUUUGACUCAUUCGAAAGAACAAUCCGGGAGAAUGGAACGAGCAAUGCCAAGUGGCCUUUGAUAAGAUAAAAUAGUAUUUGUCUAAUCCUCCAGUGCUAAUACUGUCGACCCCUGGAAGACCAUUGAUAUUAUAUCUGACCUUGUUCGAAAACUCAAUGGGUUGCGUACUAGGGCAACAUGAUGAGUUCGGGAAAAGAGAAAAGGCGAUUGAUUUACUACCUCAGCAAAAAGUUUACAAAAUAUGAGGCAAAGUAACCGUCAAUUGAAAAUUCUAGAUGUAUAUGAGGACUUAGCAUUGGUGAUUUAUCAAAUUCGGUGAGAUUGGGAAGUGAAGGAUUCGAAAUUAGUCAAAUAUCGCAAUCUCGUUAUGGAACUGGUCAAAGAAUUCAAAAAAAGUGACUUUUAACUACCUCCCACGAGAAGAAAACCAAUUGGUUGACGCCCUAGCCACCUUGGCUUCAAUGUUUAAAGCAAACAGAGAAACUGAAAUAAUGCCUAUCCAAAUAAGUAUAUAUGAGGUCUCUGCACAUUAUUUUAGCAUUGAGAUGGAGUCAGAUGGACGACCAUGGUUCCAUGAUAUUUUAGAGUAUAUCAAGAAUCAAAGGUAUCCCGAGCAAGCAAACGAGAAUGACAAAAGAAUAAUCAGGAGAAUGGUGGUUAAAUUUGUUCUUGAUAGGGAUAUCCUAUACAAAAGAAGAAAAGAUCAAAUGCUCCUGAGAUGUGUAGACGAUGUUGAAGCCAGAAGAAUACUUGAAGAUGUCCAUGAAGGAAUUUGUGGAACGCAUGCCAAUAGUUUCACUAUAGCUAAGCAGAUUAUGAGACUUGGUUAUUUUUGGCUGACGAUGGAAAGGGAUUGCAUUAGUUUCGCACGGAAAUGCCACAAGUGUCAAAUUUACAGCUAUAAAAUUUAUACAGCUCCUUCGCCCCUUUAUGUCAUGACUUCUUCGUGGCCUUUUUCUAUGUGGGGCAUGGAUGUUAUAAGGCCAAUUUCCCCGAAGGCUUCUAAUGGACAUCGAUUCAUAUUUGUGGUUAUAGAUUACUUCAUAAAAUGGGUAGAAGCCGCUUCGUUUACUUCACAAAAUGGGUAGAAGCCACUUCGUUUGCCCAUGUGACGAAGACUGCAGUUUGCAAGUUCAGAAAAAAGGAGAUCAUAUGUCAAUAUAGUUUGCCUGAGUAAAUUAUUUCAGAUAAUGCUUUGAAUCUGAACAACAAAAUGAUGAAAGAAGUGUGUGAGCAAUUUAAAAUAAAGCAUCAUAAUUCCUCACCCUAUCGCCCGAAAAUGAACGAAGCAGUAGAAGUAGCCAACAAAAACAUUAAGAGGAUUAUCGGGAAGAUGACUGAGACUUAUAAAGAUUGGCACGAGAAGCUACAAUUUGCUUUGUAUGCAUACCGCACCUCUAUACGGACAUCUACGGGAGCAACUCUUUUCUCCUUGGUCUACGGGAUGGAAGCCGUUCUGCCUAUCGAAGUGAAGAUCCCAUCCUUACGCGUCUUGAUGGAAUCAAAAUUAGAAGAAUCAGGGUGGGUUCGAGCUCGAUAUGAUCAGUUAAACCUUAUUGAAGGGAAACACUUGAAGGCAAUUUGUUAUGGACAAAUGUACCAAAAGAGAAUGAUCACGACCCAUGGUAAAAAGGUGCGACAAAGAGAAUUCCACGAAGGGGAGCUUGUACUAAGAAAGAUACUCCUGAUACAAAAAAACUUUCGAGGAAAAUGGUUACGAAAUUGGGAAGGGUCAUACGUUGUAAAAAAGGCAUUUUCGGGAUGGCUCUGAUUCUCACUGAGAUGGACGGGAAAGAAUUACCUAAUCUAGUGAACUUAGAUGCUGUAAAGAAAUAUUUUGCCUAAAAAAACAAAAAAAUAAAAAAAUCAAGAUGAAAACCCGAAAAAGGGCGUCUUGAUAAACAAUGAAGAUUAGGAUGAAAACCCAAAAGGGCGUCCUAAUGAAGCAGGUUCAGACUUAAGGAGCAAGACGACUUGAACAAGGAGUUGAAUGACGAAGUCACAAUAUUUGAAGCAUUCUCAGAAGCUCGAAAUCUUCUACACAGGAAGCCAUCCUCAAAAAGAUUAUUGACAAAGAAACGUGGAGAAGUUCAUGUGUUAGAUAUCUAGAGCAUUUGUGGUCAUUGAAUUCGCUUUCCUUUCUUUAUGAUGCUUUCUUUAUUUGAACUACUCCUUAUUAAUUUUCUUUGUUUGCUACUUUAAAAAAAAUGAAUGUGAGGUAUUUCUUUCAUGCCUAUUUGCCUUUUUUUUCUUGUAGCUCGUGUUUGAUUCAUUUAAAUGAUAACUAGUAAGAUAACGUACUUUAAACAAAAGGAAUAUUGAACAUUACCUGGAUGAGAAUUUGACAAGUACAAGAACCCCAAAGCAAGAACAAAGUUCAACAAGGGGGCAGGAAUGUGAUAUACGAAAAAUGUGGGUUACUCGCAAAACUUGAGGAGAAAAGUACAAAACUAGAGAGAAAAGUCAAAGAUUGAAGCAAUGAAUGCAGUCCCUCAUAAAAAAAGGGGCACGUGACAAAUAGCCCAGGUUGCAUGGCAUAAUCAUGUAGACAUAAAAGCAUUUAGGACAAACAUGUGCAUAUCAUAAUAACAUCAUACAUGACAUAUAUAGGUAUACCAAUAGAGCAAGGAAUUUUGGGAGAAAACUGUACAGAAUCAAUGAAAAAGAAGGUUUUUAUUUUCACCCGAUGUUUGUUCCGAAACACUGAUUCUUUUAAGAAUUAUUUGUUUCAAUUUCUAUUUUUUUUUCAAAAAUAAACUCAUAAUACGAGAGGUGAGUUGAGCAUCGGGCCACACGCCGAGGUAUUUUCAAUUUUUGUUUUUUCAAAAAAUCAACUCAUAAUGCGAGAGGUGAGUUGAGCCUUGAGUCACACGCCGAAAGUUAUUUCAAUUUAUGUUUUUCAAAAAUCAACUCAUAUUGCGAGAGGUGAGUUGAGCCUCGGACACAUGUUGAGGUAAUUUUUAAAUUUCUGUUUUUCAAAAAUCAACUCAUAUUGCUAGAGGUGAGUUGAGCCUCGGACACAUGCCGAGGUAUUUUUUAAAAUUUCUAUUUUUUCAAAAAUUAACUCAUAAUGCGAGAGGUGAGUUGAGCCCCGAGCACACGCCGAUGUAUUUUUCAAUUUCUGUUUUUUCAAAAAUAAACUCAUAAUGUGAGAGGUGAGUUGAGCCUCGGGUCACGUGCCGAUGUAUUUUUAAUUUCUAUUUUUGUCAAAAAUCAACUCAUAAUGCGAGAGGUGAGUUAAGCCUCGAGCCACACGCCGAGUUAUUUUUCAAUUUAUGUUUUUCAAAAAUCAACUCAUAAUGCGAGAGGUGAGUUGAGCCUCGGGCCACAUGCCGAGGUAUUUUUUUAAUUUUUGUUUUUCAAAAAAUCAACUCAUAAUACGAGAGGUGAGUUGAGCCUCGGGUCACAUGUAGAGGUAGUUUUUAAUUUAUGUUUUUCAAAAAAAAUAACUCAUAAUGCGAUAUGUGAGUUGAGCCUCGGGUCACACGCCGAGGUAUUUUUCAAUUUAUGUUUUUUUAAAAAAAUCAACUCAUAAUGCGAUAGGUGAGUUGAGCCUCGGGUCACGUGCCGAGGUAUUUUCAAUUUCUAUUUUUCAAGAAUCAACUCAUAAUGCGAGAGGUGAAUUGAGCCUUUGGCCGCACGCCGAGGUAUUUUCAAUUCAUGUUUCAAAAAAAAAAAUCAACUCAUAUUGCGAGAGGUGAGUUGAGCCUUGAGUCACAAGCUGAGGUAUUUUUUAAUUUUUUUUUCAGAAAUCAACUCAUAAUGCGAGAUGUGAGUUGAGCCUCGGGCCACACGACGAGGUAUUUUUAAUUUUUGUUUUUUCAAAAAAUCAACUCAUAUUGCGAGAGGUGAGUUGAUCGGGCACAUGCCAAGGUAUUUUUUUAAAUUUUUUUUUCAAAAAAUCAACUCAUAAUGCGGAAGUGAGUUGAGCCUCGGGUUGCAUGCCGAGGUAUUUUCAAUUUCUGUUUUGUCAAAAAAAAUCAACUCAUAUUGCGAGAGGUGAGUUGAGCCUUGGGUCACAUGCCGAGGUAUUUUUUAACUUCUGUUUUUCAAAAAUAAACUCAUAAUGCGAGAGGUGAGUUAAGCCUUGGGCCGCAUGCCGAGGUAUUUUCAAUUUCUGUUUUUUUGAAAAAAUCAACUCAUAUUGUGAGAGGUGAGUUGAGCCUCGGGUCACACGUUGAGGAAUUUUUUAAUUUCUGUUUUUCAAAAAUCAACUCAUAAUGUGAGAGGUGAGUUGAGCCUAGGGCCGCACUCCGAGGUAUUUUCAAUUUCUGUUUUUUCAAAAAAUCAACUCAUAUUGCAAGAGGUGAGUUACGCCUCGGGUCACAUGCCGAGUUCUUUUUCAUUUCUGUUUUUUUCAAAAAUCAACUCAUAAUGCAAGAGGUGAGUUGAGCCCUGGGUACACACUGAGGUAUUUUUCAAUUUUUGUUUUUUCAAAAAUCAACUCAUAAUGUUAGAGGUGAGUUGAGCCUCGGGUCACAUACCAAGGUAUUUUUCAAUUUCUGUUUUUCAAAAGUCAACUCAUAAUGCGAGAGGUGAGUUGAGCCUCAGGCACAUGCCGAUGUAUCUUUCAAUUUAUGUUUUUUCAAAAAAAAAACGAACAAAAUUCAGUGUUUUUAAGUCUUCGCUCUAUCCUUGUUUCACAGCGAUAAGCAAAUAGGGGCAACAGUAAUCACUGAAUUUUGUCCGAGUCAAAUUUCGUUUUUUUUUCAAAAUUACAUUUUGAAAAUAAACACAUUUGAAAAUAAACACAUAAACUUAGAUAUAACGUAAAAAAACCUAUUGAACAUAGAUAUAACGUAAAAAAAACUAUUGAAAAAAGAAUACAAAUAAUAAAUUUGAAAGCUCUUUUUAUAAUUUUUAUAGAAUUCAACAUCUUAUAUUCAUAGAAUUUUUAAAAGAAAAAUCAUAAACUUUGUCAUCAAGUUUGACCAAAUCAAGAUUCUACAUGCUAUUUCAUCCUCAUGGAUGCCAAUAAUUCAAUUAAAUCAAAACAAAAAAUUUAUACGUAUAAUUAAAUUAAAAUUAAUAUAUCACAUUACACACUAAAUUAACGUUAAUAUAUAAAUAUAAUAUUAAUCCUUUUUUAAUAAAAUAGAAAAUAGAAAUUGCUGUUAAAAUAUUGGAGUUCAAACAAGGUGGCUGGAAAGUAUUAUCAAAAUAACUUAUUUUGUAACGUGAUCAAUAUAAUAUAUCAUCAACAAGUAUUGUUGAUUGAAUAUUAAAUCAAUUGAUAUCAAUAUCGUUUAUGUUAAUAUAAAAGUCAAAAUACAUUUUACCCAAAAAAAUUAAUAGGGUAUCCCUCCAUACUGACAUCACUACAGAAGAAAACAAACCAAAAAUAUUUAUAAAGUUAAGAAGAUGAGUUUUGACUGGAAGUAUUGGGCAGGUUGGUACCGGCCGGCAAGGGAACGCCAUUGUUCUGGUGCUGCCAUUCCUAUAUCCUUUGGAGCCAACGUAAGAGAUUGAAGAAGCCCCCAUAAAAUAAUGGAGAUUCCGCUGCCUUGAAUCAAAUACACUACACAAUGAUGCACAUGGCAGACCCCAAGUGUCCCCUCCCACCAAUUUUUUUAAUAACAAAAUAACAAGUACGCCAUGCUUUAUUAAUUCUCUUUAUUAUAGUUUAUUCAAAAUUUCCCCCCUAACCAUGGCAUAAAUAAUAAUAAUUUUUACCUAUUUCAUUUUCUUUAAGGUGAUUAAUAUAUGUUUCGUAACCAGGUUAAGUUGGGUAUGUGUUAAUUCGUGUUGAAAUCGAUUUUUAGCCCGGUUGAAUGUACAACUACUUUUAACCUAAAUGCUAUUGAACAAAAUUAACAAUUGUUUGAAUGUUUGAUGUAUAUUUUCACCCUAAAAGGCAACGAUUGGAUAAAUUUUGAAUGGAAACUGAUUUGGUAUUUUCAUCUUUAUAUAUAUUGAUUUAAAAUAAAUCUGAAAUAAUUUUGAUUUCAAUUAAAAUUAUAAAUUAAAAUAAUAAUUUAAAAUGAUCAAUUAAUAUAUGAUUAGAUUUUUAAUCCAAAAAAUUAUUAUUACAGUUAAUUUAUUGUAAAAUAUUAAAUACAUUAAUAUUAUUUUAAUUUAGUAAGGAUAAAUUUGUAAAUUAUUAUUACUUUUUUAGAAAAUUAUUUAGUGAAUCAAACGUAAUAAUAAAACAUUCUAAGGAUUUUUAAUCAACGCAUCUCGAUUUAUACCAAACGUUGCAAAGUAACUUUCCUAGCAAUCACAUCCUAAAGAAUCACAUUUUGCUAGAAUCAUAACAUGGGAAAACACCAAAUGCUACCUAAUAUUAAAAUAAAUAAAAUAAAACUGAAUUAAUGAAAAAUAUUUUCCAUUAAGUGGUAAGUAGCUCUUAUUUACUUAUCAUUUUCCACAUGUUUAUUUUGUAAAAAAAUUUCUACCUAAUUGCUUUUGUUUUAGAUUAUCAAAUAUGUGUAAAAAAAUUAAAUCAUUGGAAAAAAUUAUUUUCAUAUUUGCGUUGUUAACAAUUAUUGAAUAAUAUUUAUGGGUUGUGCUGAGCAUAUGGAUGAUAUUUAACCCAUCAAUAAAAAUCAUAUCACUUUAGGAAACAUAUUUUGCAGAUUGGAUCGAAUCAGAUUACCCUAUCAAAUCCCUUGGAUCGUGGAUAUUGGAUUGAAUUAGAACACUGAUUACUUAGCUGUGAGGAGUCCAUGUUUACAUUGUACUUUAUUAUUAUAUUAUAUUACAUUCAACUUAUCUUAUUGUUAUUUUAUAGGGAUUAAUAUAGAUUUCUUUAUGUUAGCAAGUCUCAAAAUAUUAUAUAUUUAAUUGAGACUUGUAUACGUCACUGUAGUGAGAGAUUUAAGCACUUAAUCUAUCAUUGUGAGGAACUUUAUUUUCUUAGGAACACAUAUAAGAUUCGUCACUACAAACAGGAUAAUGGUAACCCCACGAUUAAUUACUUCAUUUAUGAAUUUCAUAGUAAUAGAAAUACAUGUCCUACCGGAACAGAAUUUGUAACUUGCUAUCCACUUACCUAGCGGGCAAGGAUUUACCUCCAUGGAAAAGAUGAUUCAUUCGGAUCCGCAUGAAAGCCCAACUCCAUUGCAUUGCCAUAAUCCAUUACAGAUCAAUAGGUUUUGUUUUCUAAAUUCAAUUUGAGUAGAUACUAAACAUAAGAUAAGUAAGUGGAGAAUAGAAAGGAAGGAUAAAUGAGGGGAACAAAUAAUUACAGGGAGUAUUCUUCGUCUUUCUAGCCUUCGACACAAGAAAAGGAAUUUUACACACCCUUUUCUUGUGUCGAAAUAAUAACAAUUCUGGGACCCGUUCGUCAAAGAUUUCUAUUCUUAAUUUCGAUUUUUCUAGAUUUUUCAAAACCCUUUAUUUUUUCAAUUGUUUGUGGUUUUUCUUGCUGAAUUCACAUGGGUGAAUUUAGUGGUAAGAAUAUCAUUCUUCAAAGCGUAAAAUAUAAAUGUUGAAAUAAUGAAUAUUUCUCACUAAGUUAGACUCUCCAGACAUAGUAAAUUGAAUUGCGUAAACAACUCGUGUCUUCUAUUAGUUUAUUGUUUUACUUGUAGUAGUGAAGAAGUGCACACCCCCUUGUCACUUGUUUUAAAUACUUAGCUUAUUUCUUAGCAACAGUUUUAAAAUUUCAAUUGGUACCAGAGUCUUGCCACUUAAAAUAGUUAGUUUUAACAUUAAAUUUUGAAAAAAUAAAGACAAUUUGUAUUUAAUAAGAUAUCCAUUUUAAAUGCUGUGAAGGUACUAAAACUUUUUUCGCACCUAAUUAACUUCUGAUUCUGUAAAAUUUUUUAUUUCCAAAAUAUUGACUAAUUUUUUCAUUUAAAAAGAUGAUUUUAUAAAUUUCUAAAAACACAUAGCCAAAAAAAGAAAAAUUGAUGAUAACACUUAUUAUAAUUAAACCCUUGUGUUUUUCAACAUUGAAAUUUCAAAAAAUGUUCUAAAAUUGUUAAUCUAUUUUUUUAAUUUUAAUUGAAAAUUGAUUACGACUCAAGUAAUUCAAAAUUACUCAAAUUUAGAUUUCAAAAUUGAACAUGAAAUCCUCGAUUUGAAAAUUUAAUUGACAAACUCGAAUGAUUCAAAUUUGGAUUGUCCUAAAUUUGAAAUGAUCAGAAAACAAAACUAACCGAACCUAAAAUAUAAACUUAAAAUUUAAUUUCUCUAUGUAAGUUCAAUAUCUCAAUUGAGUAAAAAAAUCAUGAUUAUUUGAACCAAAUUGAAUUGGUUAAACAAGAAUAAAAAUCUGGUUAAGUCUAUGGUCGGAUAUUUUGAAAAUGAAAAUUGGAUUAAUUGAUUUUUUUUUUAGAGGUUAUGAUUAAACCAAAUUUCAGAGCCUGAAGACUAUAUGAGGCCAAGUUCAGCCAAGUCAUUCAUAGUUGCUUUUAUCCUCUAAUUAAAUCUCCUAUAUAAAAUCAUGUCUACUUUCUUAUCACUUCCACUAUUUUUUUAUUGUGAAUCAUCAUCUUUUUUCUCUAGCUCCCCCUGGAAUGUUGCAGACAGCUUACACCUUGUAUCCAUGGCUAUUAGAUUUGAGCAAGCCGAAAGAUGGACUCUUUCGAGCUGGCUUAUCCUUUGUCAUGGUCAUACUUGCAAUUUCACUUUGGCACCUAUGGUUCGUUAAGAAGUCCAAGAAGAUCGUCGCUCAGUUGCCGCCAGGCCCUCGAGGGUUGCCGACAGUGGGAUAUCUUCCAUUUCUUGGAACCGAUAAUCUUCACCUGUCCUUCACCGAACUGGCUGCAACCUAUGGUCCCAUCUUCAAACUUUGGCUUGGCAACAAGCUAUGUGUCGUAAUUAGCUCACCGGAACUAGCAAAAGAAGUGGUUCGUGACCAUGAUGUAACAUUCUCUGAACGAGAUCCACCCAUUGCUGCACAAGUUGCUAGCUUUGGUUGCAAUGAUAUUGCAUUCGAUUCUUCCAGCAAUCCUCGAUGGACAAACAAACGUAAAGUUCUAGCAACCGAGUUGCUUACCAAUGCUAGGCUGAAUGCUUGUUAUGGUCUACGAAGAGAACAAGUAAUGAAUGGCCUUAAAGAUGUGUAUGAAAAUGUUGGCAGGCCAAUUGAUAUUGGGAAAUGGACAUAUUUAGUGGCAUUAAAUGUGGCCAUCAGCAUGAUUUUGGGAGGUGAACUCCCAGGUGAGAAAGGGGCGGCCAUCGAAGGUAACUUGAAAGAGAAUUCGUCUGAAUCAAUGGUGUUACUGGGAAAACCGAACGUCUCCGAUAUUUUUCCGGCGAUUGCACGGUUUGACAUACAAGGUAUUGAGAGGGGAAUGAGGAAAAUCAACCAACAGUUCAAUCGACUUCUUGAAUCUGUAAUUGAAAUGGCCAUUGAUAAGGAAAAAGAUGAGAAGAGUAGUGAACAAAAAUUAGGCUUCUUAGAGCUGCUAUUGCAUUUGAAACGCAAUAACAACGAAGAUAAUGCAUCACCUCUUACAAUGGAUGAAGUCAAGGGUCUGCUCGUGGUAAGUGGUGAAUUUGGUUUUCAUUUUUUUAAUUUGUUAGAUAUUUAUUUAUUUAUUUUUGGAAUUGAAAUUUUUUUUUGAAUAUUACACUAAAAAUAACUAAUAGCAGAAAUUUACUCUUGUAUAAAAUAGAAUAUUAACAACUUUCAUGUUAAAACAAGUUAAUUUAACAAUCUUUAAUAUAUAUAAGCAUGAAUUUUAAGAAAUUGAACUAAUAAAGAUACCCUUUAUUGUUAAAUAUAUUAUUAAAUUGACAUUAAAAUAAUAAUUUAUUAAUAUUAUUAUGUGAUAAUAAUAAAAAUUAUUAUGAUAGUGUAUUAAUGUGAAAUUAAUUAAUUUGAUCAUAUCUUUUAAAAGUUCUAGUUAAAAAAUAAUAUAAUAUAUUAUUAAUUAAUAAAAUUAUAAAUCUAUAAAAUCAUUGAAAUAAUUGGAUAAAUUAAAAAUAAAAACCAAGUUUUUUAAUUAAAUAAAUACAAUUUAUAUAUAAAUAUGGUUUUAUUUUAAAUAGGUUAAUAAAUGAUAAUUUUAAAAUCAUUUUUUAUAAAAUUAAUAAAAACUAAAUGUGCGGGACAACCAUUAUAUAUAUAUAAAUAAUAUAAAUAUAUUGAUAAUAUAAUCUACAAUUUAUUUAUUUAUCCUUAAUUUAUAUGUAAAAACUCAAAAGAAAAUAAAUAUAUUUUAUAAUUAAAUUAAAUAUUUUUUUUAUAAAUAUUAAUUGCAUCUAAUUAAAUUUAUUCAAUUCAACACAAAUCUCAACUCAACAAAUAGUUUGACUCAUAUCUAUUUAAGAAAAUAAGAUGAAGAAAGUCAAUUAAUUAAAAUUUAGUAUAUUGCAUUAUCUAUGUUUCUUAAUAUUAUUAUUUUUUUAAAAAGUUAUAAAAUAAUUAUAAUUACCUAUACCAAUUAAAACUAAUUUUUAGCACUAUAAAUAUAUGUAUUGGUAAGAUAUUUUCAUUUAAAAUAAUAUCUACAGAGUUAAAUGAAAAAAAAUAAAAUUUUAGUGUUAUGUACUUAACAUAUGAACUAGUAUAUAUAAAAUAAAUAAAUUAUAAAAAAUAUUAAUAUAAUUAUUUAAAUUUUAAUAAAUUGAUAUUAAUAUUCAAACUAUGAUAAAUUUUUGUAUUGUUUUAACAUUAAAUAAUAUUAAUAUAAGUUAAUUAAAUAUUUUUUAAAAAUAUUUUGUAAUUAUAUUAUUAUUUUUCAAUUCAUUAAUGAUUUUAAACAAAAUUUAAUGUUUUAAAAAUAUUAUAAAAUUAAUAUACCCAACCGACUACGAAAAUAAAAAGUAAUUACUAUAUAUAUAAUAUACCCUUUAUCUUUGCAUAAUAUACCCUUUUAUCUUUGCUUUCUAGUUUGGGUAAUUAAUGCUAUUAAUUUUGAACUUUUAGGAUAUAUUGGUGGGUGGGACAGAUACUACUACAACUAUGGUAGAGUGGACAAUGGCAGUGCUAAUGCAACAUCCAGAAAUAAUGGAGAAAGUGAAGAAAGAAUUAAGUGAUGUUGUUGGGGUAAACAACACCGUUGAAGAGUUUCACUUGUCUAAUUUAAGUUAUCUAAACGUUGUGAUAAAGGAAACCUUCCGACUGCAUCCAGCACUACCGCUCCUUGUUCCUCGAUGUCCGGCCCGAUCCGUCCAUCUCAACGGCUAUACCAUACCAAAGGGCAGUAGGUUGUUCAUAAACAUGUGGUGCAUUCAUAGGGAUCCUGGUAUUUGGGAGAAUCCUUUAGAAUUUCGACCAGAAAGAUUCUUAAAUGAUCCCGAUAAUUCAAAUCAUUAUGGAAAUGAUUUUCGGUUCAUGCCAUUCGGGUCCGGAAGGAGAAAGUGCCCAGGAAUACCCUUAGGGGAGAAGCUAUUGUUUUUCAUAUUGGCUUCAUUGUUGCAUUCUUUUGAGUGGAGAUUGCCACACGGAAUAGUGCUUGACAUGUCCGGCAAAUUUGGAAUUGUUAUGAAGAAAAAGGAACCUAUACUUCUUAUUCCUACACCAAGAUUGACAAAUCUUGAUGCUAAUGGUUAAAAAUGCAAAAAAGACGAUGAUUGAAUCUCUUAUCCGCACUUUAAUAAUUAAAUUUAGAAUUUAUUAAUGUAUCUCCUUGUUUUAUAUUUAAUGCGUUUUAAACUAUAAUUGUCUUUUUAUGUUGUAGGUAUCCAAUAUGGCAUUGAUAUUGGAUAUUUUGGUAAUAAAGCGCAUAUAUUACAUUGAAUUUAAUUCGAAAAAAAAUCAAAAAAUAAUUUGAAUUAAGACGAUUUGGAGAUUUUUUAAAAUAGAAAUUAUAAUUGUAAUUAUCUAAAUCAAAUCAAAUUUUAAUUUUAUUAAUUUAUAAUGAAAAACAAAUUAAUUAAAAAUUAAUAUUUUCAAUGAUUUAAUUUUGUUGGAACUUACCGUAAACAUUAAGUUUUGUCGAGGCUUACAAUCUCAAUUUCGACUUGAUUUGACUUCAAUUUUAAAUAGUUUUCAAUUUAAUUUUGGCAUCAAAUGGGGUAGAUAUUUGGAUAUCUACUUGUGUUUUUUUGGAAAAAUAAUAAUAAAAUCAAAGUUUUAUUUUAAAUAAACUAAAAUUAUGUUUUUAGAAAAUAAAAAAAAAAUCAUGUCGGGGAUUGGGUGAAAGAUCAUUUAAAUUCAAAGGCCAAAAUGUUUUGUUUUCCAAGCACAAUUUUUAAUGUUAAACCAAAUUGGUUUUAGUCUAGUCGGAGGCCAAAUUAGGAACAAUAUCAAUAUCAAUCCCUUUUAUUUCCCAUUUGCUUCAGAUUUUGAAAUCUUGAGUGGUAAAUUUGCCAAUUAGGCCUCUUUGCCUUUUACAUUUUUUGAUUAUGGUCAUGCUAACAGUACUUUAUACACUGGAUUACAAUUUGUGGAGGAGAUGACAUCAUUAUUUGAUGAGAAAUUGUGCUAUAAAAAGAAGAUUUAAUCACUUUACUUUCAUGGAAUGUUGAACUCAAUGCUUCUUUUUUCAAAAGAAAUGGUUGUGCCUACACAAGCAGUUGAAGUAACACAUGAGCCAUAUCAUCAAUAGUUGAGAGAUGUAUUUAAGGUAAUAAAUUACUUAUUAUAUGAUUAUAUCUUAUUUAUUUAUUAUAAUAAUAUUUUUUCUUAUUAAUUGCAAAUAGGGUACUAAUGGUGAACUUGAUGGGGCUUAUUCAUGCAAUAAUACCAAUUAAUGUGCUGGUCAUAUGUGAUUUUAAUAUGAAAUUUGCAUUUGUGUGGGCUAAAUGGGAAGGUGUAACACAUAGUAGAAACCAUGAAAAUUCAAAAAAAAUAGUUUUCCAUAUCAUCCACAAAGUUAGUAUAAUUUGUCUAUAAUUAAUUUUGUAAUAAACUCAUAAAGUGUUUAAUAUAAAUUUUACAAAUAAAUAUUAUUUCUAUGUAUUCAUUGUUAGAGUAUAGAGACUGCUAGUCUGUUAUUAUUCUGGUACCUAGUCUGGUAUGAAGUUGGUUAACAGCAGUUACUCAUGUAUAAGUAUAUAAACACUAGCAAUAUUUUCUGUAUUUUCUAAUCUUUCAAUAUUGUUCACUGUUUUACAUAAUAAUCUAGUUACUAACAUGGUAUCAAUCGCCUAAUUUCCAGGUACUUGCUUCCGUUGCCGAUCCAUGGCUAAUUCAACAGAUUCUACUUCUGCUGGUCAUACUAGUCCACUUUUCAGCUCACAUUUGGUUCAGUCAUUUCUGCGUCAUGACACCGUGAAAUUGGAUGAAGGGAAUUUUGUGCAAUGGCAGCAACAUGUUCGUUUAAUGUUGCAAGGAUAUUUAGAGGGCACGUUACCUGCUCUGCCUAGAUUUGUGGCAUCUCCGGAAAGUGUUUUAACUCCGAAUCCUGAUGCGUCCUAGUUUGUUCAACAAGAUAAGUUGCUCGCGUCUUGACUUCUAUCUACUAUUAGUGCUUCCUUAUUGACUUGUUUAUAAUUUCUUUUAAUGAUAAAUAAUUUUUCUUUAAAAAAAAUGUCAAGACUCAAUUAUUUAAUUCGUGAUAUCCAAUAUCUCUUCCACUACUUGUAUGGGUGGCCAUAUUCCCAUUUCAAAGAAAAAAAAAAUCCCAUUUCUGGUUUUCAUUUUAAUUGAGUGGACGAACUUAGUUUUAGCUUGAAUUGUUUUGACUUUAUGCAUUUAUUGUCAGAUCGUUACAGAGAAAACUGCAAGACGAAACGUCCAAGUGAAUCUUCACCAUAACGACUUCUCAUAGAAGAAUCCAAAAUUAAUAAGAUAUCAGUUCAGUCGACUUUUGACUAUAGGCUUAAUGUAUUAUUUAAUACUCAAUUUUAAUAUAUUUUUUAAUGUGGUAUAUGUAUUAUUUUUUGUUCAAUCUAGUAUUUAUAUUUGACAAAAGUUAUAUAUUUCGAUACCCAAAGACAAUGGUGUUAAUUUUUUAAUAUUUAAUUCGAGUUUUAGAGUUUGAUGAAAAUUCAUUAAAGCUAUAUAUUAACAAUUAACUUUCAUCAAAUUAAACCUAAAACUUGAACUAAACACUAAAAUAUUAGCACUGUUACCUUUAGGUAUUAAAAUAUAUAUCCACAAGUAUCACAUUUGACAGAAAACAUAGAUACUACAUUUAAAAAAUAUCAAACUUAAGUACCAAAUUAUGUAAUAAGCCUAAUAUUUAUAUAUCGAGAUUAUGUAUGGUUUGUAUAAUGUGUAAUCGUAUUUACAUGUAUGAUAUGAAUGCAUUAUAUUCAUAAAUAUUAGGUUCGAAUCUUAUCAAGUACAUUUUUGUAAAUUUUACAUGAAUUAAAAUGAUAAAAAAAUUUACUCUCAUAAUAAUAUUUAUUAAUUUAUAAAAGGGAGAGUUUAUAGUAAUUACUUAACUAAGUUGGGAAACCGUUGACAAGUGAUAUCUACAUAAUCUGCUUUUUGAAUAUAAUAUAGAUUUAAAAGGUUAUACAAUUGUUUUCCCUUUUGAAAUUAUAUACUAGAAUUUGUAAAGAUUAUGUGAUUUUGAUAUUUGAAAUAUCAUAUAUAUAUAUGUUCAAAUUAAAUUUUAAAAAAAUUAUAUUUAAAAAUUAUAUUUCAUAUAUCGCAAUAUUAAUGAAUUUAAAUAUAAUUUAAAUUAAAUUAAUUUUUACAUUUCAAUAUAAUGUCACAAUAAUAUUAAAUACUUAAAAAAAUUACAAUUUCUAACAAUAUUUUUUCAAAAAAUAAUUUUUAACCUUUGGACUUCUCCGCACACAGGUAAUCAUAUGAACAAAAAAGAUAACAAGAUGUGUGAUGACUAACAAUUUCUUUUUAUGGUAUAAUUAAAGGGUUAGUGUUCACACACAAAGUAGGGGCAUACCCAUACUAUACAUACGUAUGCAUUAGUUCAAAAGAAACUACUCAAAUAAAAGCCUAUUACUUAAUCUUUGGAAGCCUGAACCAAAGUGAAUUUUACGAGUGAAUAUGUCAUAUUAUAUUUAUCAAAUAUAAUUUAUUUUUGUAAUGAUAAAAAGUGGGAACCAAAACAAUAAUCUACCAAAAUGCAAUGAUUAAUUCUACUAAAUAUAUGAUUAAUUUAUUUUGAUUAAUUAUACUUCUACUAAAUAUAUGAGUAAAUAUGUCAUAAUAUUGAUUAAUUCGAAAAAUAUAAUCACUAGAAUUAAUCAAAAUUAAAAAUAUUUUAAAAUUUUAAUUAUCAUAUUAAAAUUUUUUUCUCAAAGUUAAAGUAGGAAAUAUUCUUUUUAUCUAAACCAAUAACGUAGUUGUACUAUAAAUCAUGGUCUCUUUUCAACAAUAGUAGACACAGUAGUGACAGCACCUCGUGAUAAGCUCAGUGGGUUCACCUUAAAAUUUCUUGGUUUUCCUCCCAAAGCAACAAGAUGUUGCAAACAGCUUGCAUCUCGUUUUCAUGGCUGUUGAAUGUUGGCAACCAGAAAGAUGGACUGUUCCCAGCAUCUUUCUCGUUUCUGGUUGCCAUAUUGGGAAUUUCACUCUUGUACUCAUUUUGGAAGGCAAGGAAACCGAUGGCUCCAUUACCACCUGGUCCCCGUGGGUCGCCAAUUGUUGCGCGGAAGCGUGUGAAAGAGUAAAAUUAUUGUACUGAAAAAUCACACUAAGUUCAAUUCCCAGGAAAGAAAGGUAGAUCACGAAGAUCACUUAAAUACCAAGUCUUUCCUAGCCAGAAUAUCCCUCUAUCGUAAUUUAAAAGCACAAUAAAUCACUACAAUCACAUUCACAAAAUAUGCAAAACAAAUAAUAAAGAACACCAGAAUUUUAACGAGGUUCAGCAAAUUUUGCCUACGUCCUCGGGCACUACCAAAUAUAUUUCACUCCAAAAAUUACAAGUGAAAUUUACAAAUAGAGAGAGAGAAUAAUGCCUUAAGUAGAGAAUGGCAAUUAUGGGAUGAAGAAAGUAAGAAAUGGUUAGGCCUAUUUAUAGUUGAGGUUCAAGGAUCAACUUGCAAUGUCCCUAUACAAUUAGGGACCAAAAUUGCAAUUAUCCCAUGCCAACUUUUAACCCAACUUGCCAACCAAUUUUACUUUCUACUUUCGGUGCCCACCCUUUUUGACUUUUCAAACAAUGGGUGGGUUCCAAUAAUCUCCACCUUGAAGAUUUGAUUAGGAUAAUCUUAUCUUCACACAAUUCUUUCUGCCUUUGACAACAAUACUUGAUAGUGCCUUCUUCAACUGUUAAACUUGCAGGAUAUUGAUCAAGUUCAAACAAUGUUCGAACUUGGUUGCUGUUACCACCUUGGUCAUUAUAUCUGCGGGAUUAUCUGCAGUCUUGAUCUUCUGAAGACAAAUUUUCCCCUCUUCAAUAAUUUCCCGCACAAAAUGGAAUCGUACGUCGAUAUGCUUUGUACGUGCAUGAUAGACUUGAUUCUUUGCUAAAUGAAUAGCACUUUGACUAUCACAAUACAUGUUAAUAUGCUCCUAAACCAACCCCAAGGUUUUAGCCAUACCUUGUAACCAAAUAGCCUCCUUUACAGCCUCUGUUACAACCAUGUACUCGGCUUCUGUGGUUGACAACGCAACUGUAGACUGUAGUGUAGACUUCCAACUUAUUGGUCCUCCAGCAAGUGUAAACACAUAACCGGUGGUUGAUAUUCGCUUGUCCAAAUCACCGGCAUAGUCAGAAUCAACGUACCCAAUAACACCUUUACCAAGUGUAUUAUCCUGCUUGAACAGUAAUCCAACAUCUACGGUUUUCUGAAUAUACCGUAAAAUCCAUUUCACAGCUUGCCAAUGUCCUUUUCCAGGAUUAUGCAUAUACCUGCUCACUAUACUAGCUGCCUGUGAAAUGUCGGGUCUUGUACACACCAUUGCAUACAUCAAGCUACCCACUGCAUUAGAAUACGGAACUUGCAACAUGUAUUCUCGUUCCGUAUUCGUCGAAGGAGAUAGUUGUGCAGAAAGCUUGAAAUGAGAAGCCAACGGGGUACUUACAGGUUUUGUCUGCUCGUUCAUGCCAAACUGCUGUAGUACCUUCUUCAAAUACUGCUUCUGAGACAAGCUAACUUUAUCAUGAGCUCUAUCUCUCCAUAUUUCCAUGCCGAGAAUCUUUUUAGCUUCUCCUAGAUCUUUCAUCUCAAACUCGAGAUUGAGUUGAGUCUUCAAUCUUUCAAUCUCAACUUUGCUCUUAGAUGCUAUUAGCAUAUCAUCAACAUAUAAGAGCAAGUAUAUGAAAGUUCCUUCUUGUAGCUUCUGAAAAUACACGCAAUGAUCAAAUUUACUUCUUGUGUACCUUUGCCCUUUUAUGAACUGAUCAAAUCGCUUGUACCACUGCCUCGGAGAUUGCUUCAAUCCAUAAAGCGACUUUGUCAGUUUGCAAACCCAAUUUUCUUUUCCAGCAACCUUGAAUCCAUCUGGCUGAGUCAUAUAGAUUUCCUCUUCCAAAUCACCGUGUAAAAACGCGGUCUUCACAUCAAGCUGAACUAGUUCAAGAUCAUAUUGCGCAACCAAGGCUAGCAAAAUCCGAAUAGACGAAUGCUUCACAACUGGAGAAAACACUUCAUUGUAGUCUAUUCCUUCUUUCUGAGCGUAACCCUUUGCUACUAAUCUAGCCUUGUAUCGAAUUUCAUUUUUAUCAGGAAAUCCUUUCUUCUUUGCAUAUACCCAUUUGCAUCCACUUGCCUUCUUUACCUUGGGUAGUGUCACCAACUCCCAGGUCUUAUUUUUAUGAAGAGACUGCAUUUCUUCAUUCAUUGCUUGCUUCCACUUUACACCAUCAGGGUUACUUAUUACUUCUGUGUAAGUAGAAGGAACAUCAUCAUCUGUAAUUGGAAGUGCAUAGGCCACUAUAUCAUCAAAGCGAGCAGGCUUACGAAUCUCUCUUCUUGGCCUUCUAUAUGCAAUUGAAUCUUGUUGCUGUAGAGGUUCUUGGGUAGGAACCUCUUCAUCAUUUGUCCCUUCAAUAUUAGCUGGAUCAUCGUUAACCUUUUCAAGCUCCACCUGCUGCAAAGUACUACUGGUUUUGUCAUCCUUUUGUGAAUCAUUGUACUUCAACAUGGUUGAUUCAUCAAAAGUCACAUCUCUACUGAAAACAAUCUUCCUUGUAUCAAGACACCAGAGACGAUAUCCUUUUACUCCAUCAGUUAUACCCAAGAAUAAUACUUUCUUUGCUCUUGGGUCUAACUUAGAUUCUUUUACAUGAUAAUAUGCAGUGGAACCAAAUACAUGCAAAGAAUCAUAAUCAGUAGCAGAUUUACCAGUCCACAUCUCCAUAGGAGUUUUUCCAUUUAUUGCAGCUGAUGGCAAACGGUUAAUUAGAUGGCACGCAUAUGUAACUUCCUCAGCCCAAAAUUCUUUGCCCAAUCCAGCAUUGGACAACAUACAUCGAACUUUCUCCAGUAUAGUUCGAUUCAUUCGUUCUGCCACCCCAUUUUGCUGUGGUGUAUCCCAAACAGUGAAGUGUCGCACAAUGCCCUCAUCUUGGCAUACUUGUAGAAAUGGAUCAUUUUUGUACUCAGUACCAUUAUCUGAUCGAAGUCGUUUGACCUUUCGACCAGGCUGAGUCUCCACCAUCUUCUUCCAUUUCAGAAAUGCAUCCAAAACUUCACUUUUUCUUUUCAUUAGAUACACCCAUACUUUUCUUGAAUAAUCAUCAACAAAAGUAACAAAAUAGUGCAUACCUCCCAAAGAAGCUACUUUGGUAGGUCCCCACACAUCACUGUGAACGUAGUCCAGAAUUCCUUUCAUAUUGUGAAUUGCUGGACCAAAUUUUACCCUCUUCUGCUUGCCCAGAACACAAUGUUCACAGAAUUCCAUUUUGCAAGAAUUUACACCUUUCAAUAAGCCUUGCUUCACCAAUGUCUGCAAAGCUUUUUCACCAGCAUGUCCCAAUCGCAUAUGCCAUAAUCUGGUAGCCUCUGAAUCUACAUCUUUUGUAGAAACUGUUGAUGUUGAUCCAAUAACUAUACUUCCAUUUAAAAAAUACAAGUAAUUUCUUCUUGUGCCUUUCAUCACCGUCAGUUGCCCAGCUACUACUUUUAGUAAUCCAUCUCUCAAAGUGAUUGUGAGCCCUUUAGAUUCUAGGGCACCUAAUGAGAUGAGAUUUUUCUUCAGGCUAGGUACGUAGCGAACAUCUGUCAAGACUUGGAUUGAGCCGUCGUGAUUCUUCAAUUGGACUGUACCCACUCCCAUUGUCUUACAAGCACUAUCAUUUCCCAUAAGAACAAUUCCACCUUCUAGCUCUUUAAGACUAGAAAACCAGUCCUUAUUAGGACACAUAUGGUAAGUACAUCCUGAAUCCAAAAUCCACUCAUCCAUUUGACAUGCCAUUGCCAUGCCAACCAAGCUAAAGUCUGACUCCUCAUCAUGCUCCGCUACACAUGCAUUAGAAAUAGCCUUGCCCUUUUGUAGCUUAGGACAAUUCUUUUUCCAAUGCCCUUUUUCAUGGCAAAAGGCACAUUCAUCUUUGGCGGGUCUCCCUUUGGACUUUCCCCUUCUACCAGAUUUGCUGCUGUGUGAACGACCUCUUACUGUUAAGACUUCUGCGGUUGUAUCUCUGUGAUCUCUUUUAUCUUUCUUUCGAGUCUCAGAUCUAUACAACGCACUACAGACUGCAUCAAAUGUGAUCGUGUCCUUCCCAUGAAGCAAUGUGGUGGUAAGAUGAUCAUAUUCAUCAGGAAGGGAAUUCAACAACAAUAAUGCCUUGUCUUCAUCUUCAAAUUUCUCAUCCAAAUUUAGCAAGUCUGCUAAAAUUUUAUUGAAUAAGUUCACAUGGUCAUUCAUCGACAUACCGGGUGUAUACGUGAAUCGAUAAAGUUUCUUUUUCAUAUAAAGCCUAUUUUCAAGACUUUUCGUAAAAUGAAGAGAGAGAAUAAUGCCUUAAGUAGAGAAUGGCAAUUAUGGGAUGAAGAAAGUAAGAAAUGGUUAGGCCUAUUUAUAGUUGAGGUUCAAGGAUCAACUUGCAAUGUCCCUAUACAAUUAGAGACCAAAAUUGCAAUUAUCCCAUGCCAACUUUUAACCCAACUUGCCAACCAAUUUUACUUUCUACUUUCGGUGCCCACUCUUUUUGACUUUUCAAACAAUGGGUGGGUUCCAAUACCAAUCCUGGGGUAUCUUCCAUUUCUUGGAUUCGAUAAUCUCCAUCUGGUCUUUACGGAGUUGGGUGGAGUUUAUGGUCCCAUUUACAAGCUUUGGCUUGGGAACAAGCUAACCGUAGUAAUUAGCUCUCCAUCGCUUGUAAAAGAAGUGGUUCGUGACCAUGAUAUAGCAUUUUCAGAGCGAGAACCUCUCAUUGCCGCACAGAUUAUUACCUUUGGCUCCAGUGAUAUUGCGUUCGACUCUUACAGCAGUCCCAGCUGGAAAAACAAGCGCAAAGUUCUCGCGACCGAUAUGCUAAGCAACGCUAACCUUAACGCCUGUUAUGAUCUACGACGAGAGCAAGUGAUGAAAAUGGUCGAGGAUGUGUAUGAAAACGUUGGCAAGCCAAUUGAUAUCGGCGAAUUGGCAUUCUGUACGUUAAUCAAUUUGAUCGGAAAGAUGGUGUGGGGAGGCGCACUCCGAGGAGAGAAAGGGACUGCGGUUGAGGGUCGCUUCAAAGAGAUUUCUUCGCAGAUGGUGGUGUUAAUGGGAAAACCAAACAUUUCCGAUAUUUUCCCCGCGAUUGCAUGGUUCGACAUGCAAGGUAUCCAGAGGGGAAUUAAGUAAAUCCGUCAAUCGUUCAAUGAACUUUUAGAGUCUGUGAUUGAACUCAGAAUGAACACGGUGACUGAGAAAGAAACGAGUGAACAAAAAUCUGACUUCUUACAAUUGCUCUUGGAUUUACACAAUAACCAAGAUAGCCCUUCAUCACUUACGAUGAAUCAAGUAAAGGGCAUUCUCAUGGUAAGAUUUUAUGAUUUUUAGCUAUCAUACAUUAUUUUUCCUUCUUUAAUUCGUUUUGAGUAAUUGGUGGUUUGUAAUAGGACAUUGUGGUGGGUGCAACAGAUACCACUUCAACUACGACAGAGUGGGCAAUGGCAGAGCUAAUGCAACAUCCAGAAAUAAUGGAGAAAGUGAAGAAAGAAUUAACUGAUGUUGUUGGGGUAAAUGAAAUAAUUGAAGAGUUUCACUUGCCUAAUUUAAGUUACCUAAGUGCAGUGAUAAAGGAGACCUUCAGAUUGCAUCCACCCGUGCCCCUUCUUUUUCCUCGUUUUUCUGCUCAAUCACUCACUGUGGGUGGCUAUAACAUACCAAAGGGUAGCAAGGUAUUUUUAAACAUGUGGUUCAUUCACACGGACCCCAAUAUUUGGGACAACCCUUCAGAAUUUUGACCCGAAAGGUUCUUGGAUGAGCCUGGAAAGUUCGAUUUUCUCGGAAAUGAUUUCCGAUAUAUGCCAUUUGGGUCAGGAAGGAGACGGUGUCCAGGCAUAACCCUAGGGGAGAAGAUGUUAUCUUUCAUAUUGGCCUCAUUGCUGCAUUCUUUUGAAUGGAAAUUGCCCCAAGGCGAACAGCUUGGUCUUUCAAGCAAAUUUGGAAUUGUUAUGAAGAAAAAGAACCCUUUACGUCUUAUUCCCAUACCGAGAUUGUCUGAUCAUGUGCUUUACAAAAAGUAAUGGUUAUAAACUAUUAUUAUAUGUAUCCUCUUUUGCAAAUUACUGUUGUCUAUAAAUCUUGGCAUGUCAUCUAGGACUGGGAUAUCAACUCUAAUGUCACGAUUUUAUUGAUAUCUUUUAUUCGAUUGAAUAAAAAAAGAGUUAUUAGUUUGAUGAUUAAGAGUUAGUGAAUUUAUCUUUGAAAUUUAAAUUUGAUUUCCUUCCCUCAUGUAACUUUUAUUUUUUUAUAUUUUUACCUAAAACCCUAGCUGUAUUGUCCCAUGCUGUAACCCUAGAUAUAAAUAUUAUUUAAUUUUCUGUUCAACCUCUUUGGAUCAUUUAUUCUUUUCUCUUUGCUGUCCCACCCUCCUCUCUUCCUCUCAUUCUUCAAUUUUUCCUCAUCCUUGCCUUGCUGCCCCUAAAACCCUAAUUUGUCCAUCUUUUUGCCGCCUCUUUCUUCCCUUCCUCCAUUUGUGGCCGCCACACCCCAUUGAUCGUCUCCUCCUCUUGUUUUCUUUUAAUUUUUAUUCAUCUGUUCACUUCUCUGUUGUGGUUGAACUUUACUGAUGAUUUUUUGCCAUUGCCACACCUAUUUGCUCUCAUUUUCUGUUGAAUGAUGGUCAGCAUGCAGCCAUGAAGCAGACAGCAAGCAGGCCGUGAAGAUCAAGCCAUGCAGGAGCUACUGGAACGAGAUCAACUGUUCCUAUUUUGUUCAUUUUGCAAUCUUAAGUUAAUGUAAUGUACUUUAGUUCAUUUAGAACUAUGUUAGGUUUAUGAUUGAUGUAAUUUUGAUGACAAAUGAGCUGUUAACUCAGCUUUGUUUAAGUGUGCAAGCUUAGUUUUUCAAGUUUCAAUGUAUUAGUGGUGGUAAGUGAUGAAUAGGUGACAUUAUGCAGAUUUUGGCAAGCAAAUUGCUUGGUUUAUGUAUUGGCAUUAUGCCAUUGUUCAACUAUGAAUCAAAUCAGUUUAGUUUUCUUCAAAAAUACUCUCCAUUUUCUUUGCUUUUCUUCUUUCUUUUGUUUCAAAUUCAAUUGUUUCCUCAGCAAGUAUCGAGCCUUGCUGCUCAAGACACAAGCUAAGCUUGCUUGUUCUUUGUUUCCAGCACUAACAUUUUCCUUCAUUUUGUUGUUGAAAUCAGCCUCCUAUCUUGGCCGAUUGUGGUGUUCAAUUGUUUUCUGUUGAUUCCUUAUCUUGUAUCCGAAAAUUAGGAAGUAUAAGUUACUAACAUGGUAUCAGUCGCCUAAUUUCCAGGUAUUUGCUUCCGCUACCGAUCCAUGGCUAGUUCAACAGGUUCUACUUCUGUUGGUCAUACUAGUCCGUUCUCCAGCUCACAUUUGGUUCAGUCAUUUCUGUGUCAUGACACCGUGAAAUUGGAUGAAGGGAAUUUCGUGCCAUGGCAGCAACAUGUUCGUUUAAUCACAGAAGGAUAUGAGUUGCAAGGAUAUUUAGAGGACACGUUACCUGCUCCGCCUAGAUUUGUGGCAUCUUCGAAAGGUGUUUUAACUCCGAAUCCUAACGCGUCUUUGUUUGUUCAACAAGAUAAGUUGCUCGCCUCUUGGCUUCUAUCUACAAUUAGUGCUUCCUUAUUGUCUUGUUCAUAAUUUCUUUUAAUGAUAAGUAAUUUUUCUUUAAAAAAAAAAUCAAGACUCAAUUAUUUAAUUCAUGAUAUCCAAUAUCUCUUCCACUACUUGUAUGGGUGGCCAUAUUCCCAUUUCAAAGAAAAAAAAUAAUCCCAUUUCUGGUUUUCAUUUGAAUUGAGUGGAUGAACUUAGUUUUAGCUUGAAUUGUUUUGACUUUACGCAUUUCUUGUCAGAUCGUUGCAGAGAAAACUACAAGAGGAAACGUCCAAGUGAACCUUCACCAUAGCGACUUCUCAUAGAAGAAUCCAAAAUUAAUAAGAUAUCAGUUCAGUCGACCCCAUUUACUAAGUUUUUUGUUUUUGUUUCUGGAUUUGAGUAAGCUGUUUGAAACGUUAUCGACUUUUGACUAUAGGUUUAAUGUAUUAUUUAAUACUUAAAUUUAAUAUAUUUUUUAAUGUGGUAUAUGUAUUAUUUUUUGUUCAAUCUAGUAUUAUAUUUGACAAAAGUUAUAUAUUUCGAUACCCAAAGGUAACGGUGUUAACUUUUUAAUAUUUAAUUCGAGUUUUAGAGUUUUAUGAAAAUUCAUUGAAGUUAUAUAUUAACAAUUAACUUUCAUUAAAUUAACCCUAAAAUUCGAACUAAACACUAAAAUAUUAGCACUGUUACCUUUAGAUAUUAAAAUGUAUAGCCACGAGUAUCACAUUGGGCAGAAAACAUAGAUACCACAUUUAAAAAAAAUCAAACUUAAGUACCAAAUUAUGUAUUAAGCCUAAUAUUUAUAUAUUGAGAUUAUGUCUGGUUUGUAUAAUGUGUAAUCGUAUUUACAUGUAUGAUAUGAACGCAUUAUAUUCAUAAAAGAAAAUUUUAAAAUUCAACUUAAUAGAAUUGAGUUAUUCGAGAUAUCCAUUUUUUUUAGUCAGCUCGAAGAAAUAUUUCAAUUUUUCGCUUUCGAACAAGUUUUGAGUUGAAUUUUACAACUCGAAUAGCACCAAUAAUUCAAAUAACUAGAAUAAUAAGUUGUUGUAAAUACUCUUUUGUCCCUGUAAAUUUAGAAAAUAAGUAAAAUUACAAAAUAAUUAAAAUAAUUUUUAAAAAUUUAAAAUAUUUAUAAAAAAUCCAAAUUUUCAUAAUUUUUUAAAUUUAAAAAAUUAAAAAAUCUUUAAAAGAUUCUAAAGAAUAUAUAAAAAAGUUUAAAAUUUUAAAAAUUUUCAAAAUAAUAAUUUUGAGGAGCUAAACAAAUAAAUUAUUAAUUCAAAUUUAUCAUACUGAAAUAUCUUUUUUUCCUCUUAUUUUACUUUAAAAUUUUUUCCAAAUUUAUGUACACUCUAAUUAACAAAAUUUAAUUUAACAAGUUUUUUUAAUUUAAUUUAAAUGAUUUUAUUAAAUUAAAUUCAAUGCUCAACCUAUUAAUAUUCCCAUCAAAUUUUCCCAUUCUUAUGACCACAUAUUGUUGGUGUGAGUGUUAACAUAAUUUUUCAACAUCAAACAUACAAGCUCCACAACAAACAAAGUUAUCUAUAGUGCAAAUAAUAGUAUAAUUUCCCAACAAAUGAAAAAAAAAGUACUUUAAUAUAUCAAAACUAAAAUAUAAUUUUUCACACAUAUCAAAAUAAGAGAAUUAACUAUACUGACAAAUGCACAAUACAAAAAUUGGGACCAUGUGUCUAUUUCACAAACAGUGUUUAGUGAAGAUUCACAAGAAAGCUUUGAAGAAUGGGAUCAUGUGUCUCUUUUCAACAUCACAAACACAAUACACAUAUGAAGACAAAUCCAUGCUUACCUUUCUGCUUUUAUAACCACAACAAAUUUCAAAGUUCCAGUAACAGUUUUUGUGGGUUUUAGGGAUUUUAAGGGUUUAGUGAUUUCUAGAUUUAAUAUUUUUUUAAAAGUAUGGUGUUUUUAUUUGUGAUUAUUGUAAAACUAAUAGUGAUAGUGAGAUUAGAUAUUACAGCGUAAAACAAAACAAAAAUUAAACACACCGCAUUAAAAAUAAACGUCUAUUCGAAAGGGAACUUAAUAUUUCACUGUCGAAGUUUCAUUACAAUAAAUGUGAAGAUGGGUUCAUGGAACAAAUUUUUGUUUAGGUUUUGUUUUCGAACGAAUUUUUUUCCUUUUUUUUGUUAUAAACUUUUUUUUUCUUUUUAGUGAUUUGAGGGUUUAAAUGGGUGCAAAACAAUUUGAAGGAGUUGAGUUGAUUUUUUGGAAAAAUUUCAAGGGCUUAUUGUACCAAUAAGUCUUCUUAAAAAUAUUUUGUAAGUUAUUAGAAUUGGAUCCGUGUUGAACUAAUUAAACCAUCGGUUUGUCGAUCUAGAUGGUUCGAGUAAAUAAAUAAUUAAAAAAUCAUAAAAAUAAAAGAAGAUAAAAACUAGUUUAACUAAUUUUUUUAACCUGGUUCGUACCAGUUCCUGUUCAAUUGGUUUGAAGCCUUUCUUUAAACAAUAUUAUGCCGAUCAAUUCUCGAUCUAAUCAAUUUGAUUGACUAAUUUAGUUCAAAUAAAUAUGAUAUUUUGAAUUUUUUUGAAGUGGAGAAGAGAAUGAGAUAAUAAAUUAAAUUUAUUUUUAAUUAAUAGAAAUUAAAGGAGAAUUGAAAAAAAUAAUUUAAAUUAUUUUUCAAUACAUGUGGUGUAAUAUGAUUGGUAGCUGAAUACAUGUGGUAUAAUUUGAUUUGUUGAGAUAAAAAUCUUAACGAGUGUUAGUUAGAUACCUAAAAGAAGUACCAAUUUAACUUAUAGUUUGUAAGUUUAGGUAUCCGUUAGGUCCAAAAAAAGCUAAAUGCCAAGUAGGUACAUAUUGCCAAGUUUAAUAAUAUAUACUAUAUUGUUGCUGAACGAGUGUGUGCGCCCUUAACUUAGCUGGUAGCAGGAUCAACCGAAAAGUACUAAAAUGCCGUUCAUAUAGAAUAUAAGUUACAUUGCAGUGUCGGCAUAAAAAAAUAUUUUUUAUCCCCGACCCAAUCAACAAGCAAUGGUUACACAGUGAUGAACUUUGGUGCUAACCAUCGGAGUGUCAGCAUCGUCCAACAUUUUAGAUUACAGGUCAUUUUAGUUAUAGGUUUUGAAUCUGUCAUUUUCGUAAAUAAGAAAUUUUUCGAGUCAUUUUUGAAAAAAAAUGUCUUAAUUAGAUCUUUUAAUUUCCUUCAAAUCAGUAUAUUAUGAGUGCAAAACAGAGGGUUGUAGCUCAAAUUAUGAUAAAAAUGCUAAAGUUGCAGUAUGUGAAAGUCUCAGCUGUAAAACUUGCCAAAAAUAAACUUUAAACUUUUUUUUCUCAAGUUAUUCUCUAAAUUAAUAAUAGAUAAAAUAUAAGUAUAAAUAAUAUAAUUAUCAACAUAACUAGCAUAAGGUGAAAAAUAUGACUGAUAGAUAGAGAAAUUGGACAAUUAUCAAUAGUUCACGAUUUUCUUUUGUAAAGCUCAAGAUUAGUUAAUCUUGGUGUGGGAAUCAGAUGUAAAGGGUUCUUUUUACCCAUAAUGAUUCCAAAUUUACCAGAAAGGUCAACCUUUUCGUCUUGGGGCAAUUUCCACUCAAAAGAAUGCAGCAAUGAGGCCAAUAUGAAAGAUAACAUCUUCUCCCCCAAGUUAAUGCCUGGACACUUUCUCCUUUCGGACCCGAACGGCAAAUAUCGAAAAUCAUUUCCACGGAAAUCUAAUUUUCCAGGCUCAUUUAAAAACCUCUCAGGUUGAAAUUCCAUAGGAUUGUCCCAAAUAUUAGGGUCCCUGUGAAUGGACCACGUAUUUAGGAACACCCUACUAUCUUUUGGUAUGGUAUAGCCACCCACAGUGAGCGAUCGGGCUGAACAUCGGGGAACAAGGAGCGGCAAUACUGGAUGUAAUGGGAAGGUUUCCUUUAUCACUGCAUUUAGGUAUCUUAAAUUAGGCAAGUGAAACUCUUCAACAGUGUUGUUUACCCCAAUGACAUCAUUUAAUUCUUUCUUCACUUUCUCCAUUAUUUCUGGAUGUUGCAUCAGCUCUGACAUUGCCCACUCUGUUGAACCCGAAGUAGUAUCUGUUCCAGCCACCACAAUGUUCUAAUUUAAAAUACAUUAGCACCCAAAACAAAUAAAAGGAAGAAGAAAAAAAUAGGAUAGUUAAAAACAUAGAAACUUACUACUAGGAUACCCUUGAUUUGAUUCAUUGUAAGUGAUGAAGGGCUAUCUUGGUUCUUAUGUAAAUCCAAGAGCAUCUGUAACACAUCAGAUUUUUGUUCACCAGUUUCCUUCUUCAUUCUUUCUUCAAUCACUGAAUCCAAAAAUUCAUUGAACGAUUGACGGAUUUUCUUCAUUCCCCUCUCAAUGCCUUGUAUGUCAAACCAAGCAAUCGAUGGAAAAAAAUCGGAAAUGUUUGGUUUUCCCAAAAACACCACUAUCUCUGCAAAAAUCUUUUUGAACUGACUCUCCACGAUAGUCCUUUGCUCUCCUUGGAUUUCGCCUCCCCACACCAUGUUGCCGAUCAAACUGGUUAACGUACGAAAUGCCAAUUCACCGACAUCAGUCAGCAUACCGACGUUUUCAUACACAUCCCCCACCAUUUCCAUCACUUUUUCUCGCCGUAGAUCAUAACAGGCAUUAAGAUUAGCGUUGCUAAGCAUAUCGGAUGCGAGAAUUUUGCGCUUGUGUUUCCAGCUCGGACUGCUGUAAGAGUCGAAUGCAAUAUCAUUAGAGCCGAAGGUAAUAAUCUGUGCAGCAAUGGGAGAUUCUCGCUCUGAAAAGGCUAUAUCAUGGUCACGAACCACUUCUUUUACAAGCGAUGGAGAGCUAAUUACUACGAUUAACUUGUUUCCAAGCCAAAGUUUGUAGAUAGGACCGUAAACUCCGGCCAACUCCGUAAAGACCAGAUGGAGAUUAUCGAAUCCAAGAAAUGGAAGAUACCCCACUAUUGGCAACCCAAGGGGACCAGGCGGUAAUGGAGCCAUCGGUUUCCUCGCCUUUAGAAAUAGGUACCAGAGUGAAAGCCCCAACAUGGCAACCAGAAAUGGGAAAGCUGCUGGUAAGAAUCCAUCUUUCUGGUUGCCACCAUUCAACAGCCAUGAAAGCAAGCUGUAAGCUGUUUGGAACAUCUUUUUCGCUUUUGUGAGGAAAACCAGGAAAUUUUUACACUGAGAUUUAUCCGGUAAGUGCAGUGCCCACUAAGAAGUGACCAUAAUUUAUAGUACUAAAAUAGCUGUUUGGUAAUUUAUUUUGUUUUUUUUUAAAUUCAUUUUCAAUUUAAUUUAAUUUAAUUUAAUUUAUGCAAGAAUUUAUAAAGUGAAUUUAAAAUAUUUAUAUAACAUAUUUCGGUGAAUUAUUAAUCUAACUAAUUUGAUUUAGUUGAUUAGUUGAAAUAUGCUGACUCAAAAUUUUAAAAAACUUCUAACCGAUCCCUAUCUUUGCUGCUAUUGAUGAUGAUGUUCCUCUUGCAUCCUUUGUUCCUCAAAUCGCAAGAAAGCGGACAAAGAGACUGUUAGAAUUAAAUGACCCGAAUCCUUAUUUAAAUAAAAUAGUGUGGUAAAAUAAAAUAAAAGUAAAAUUCCUAUAUAAUUAUACUUCUUUUAUUUUAUUUUAGAAUAAGGUUUUUUAAACCUUAUUAAACUCCAUCUAUUUGAUAUUGAUUAGAAUAAGGUGUUUCACUCCUAUUAGAAUAUGGUUUUAUAAGCAUAUAAAUAGACAUAGUCUACUCUUGUAAUUAUUCGAAUUCGACAUAGUAAUUUUCUUCUCCUCUACCCGUGGUUUUUUCUCGAAAGGGUUUCCACGUAAAAUUUGUGUGUUCUUUAUUUUUAUUUCUAUUUCUAUUUUCUUUGAGAUAUAUUUUCAUUACCGAUAUUCUAUUUUUACAAAUUGGUAUCAGAACUUCUGGGUUGUUCAUCUCAAUCACGGAAAUGGCGUCUUUGAAAUAUGAAAUUCUGCUGUUGGAUCACAACACCAGAUUAGCAUUGUGGCAGAUAAAGAUGCAGGCAGUUCUUACUAACGAAAUUUUGCAUGAUGUGAUGAAGGAGAAGACCGUCGCUGGAUUAUGGAAGAGGUUGGAACAAAUACGUAUGUCAAAAACUCUAACUAGUAAGCUGCAUAUGAAGCAGCGUCUUUAUGCUCAUCGUUUGGAGGAAUGUGCGUCUGUGCACAAACACUUGACAGUGUUUAAAGAAAUUCUCUCAAAUUUGGAGGCCAUGGAGGUUCAGUAUGAUAAGGAAGAUCUUGUAACAGCCCGAUUUUGGGCCUAGUCGGAACAGUGGUUUCGGGACCACAAAUCCAACAAGGAAAAUUUUAUUUUUAUUAUAUUUUUAUGGUCUACAAUUUCAUAGAAUGAUUUUGUGAAAAUUUUGUUCGAAAAUUUCGACGUUUGGGCACUCAAUUUAGUAAAAAGGACCAAAUUGUAAAAAGCACAAAACUUGAGUUCUACAUGUUAGAGGUGCCCAAUUGUUAUGAAAUUUUAAAUUGGAGGUCUUUAUAUGAUGAUUAGACCAUUGGUUAAAUUAUGGACAAAAAUGGACAUGAGAUAAGUGAAAUAGGAAAAUUUUGAUUUAGGGGCAAUUUGGUAAUUUAGUAAUAAAAAGAAAUAAAAAGGGAAAAAGGAUGGCAAAAUGUGCUCAUCUUCUCCAUGGUGGCCGAAUAUAGCAAGGGGGAAGCCAUAGUUAGGGUUUUCAAGCUUCCAAGCUCCAUAAUAAGUGAUUCCAAGCCCCGUUUUUAAUGUUCUUUACGUUUUUAGAGUUCUGGUAACUUAAUUUAGCUUAUUCUAGCAAUAAUUUAAUUUAGGGUUCAUAUUUGGAAAAAUACCCAUAGGUGAAAUGUGUUUAUUUUGAUGUUUUAUGAUAGAACAUGAAGCUUUAAAUUAUGUUAGACAACUUUUGCUAGGCGAUUUUAAGUGAAAACGAGUAAAAUGACAUAAUCGGUAAAAAUACCUAAUGUUCAUAAGUAGAUGUUAGAGUGGGAAUUUGAUGUUUCCAUAGAAGGGAAAAGUGUUCAACAUGUCAUAAAACAUAAUAAUAAGGGUUGAAGUUUAAUUUUCGAGCUUUUCGAAAAAAAAUGUAAAUAUGCAAAAGUUUAGGGGCAAAAUCAUAAUUUUUCCAAAGUUUGAGUCAAGGACUGUUUUGAUAAAUGUGAGUAUUAAAUAAGCUAAAUUUGCUAUUAUAAAUCAUGAAAGACGAGAAAUUGACAUUGAUCAGUGAAAUAGAGUAAGUGAAAUUAUGAAAGAGUAAAUUUAGCAACAAAAUAAUUUUGGACAGCAACAGUUGUGUGACUUUGAAAAAUCACCAAAAAUGGUGGAAAUCGAAUUAGAGGUUUAAUAAUAUAUAAAAUUAAGUCUAAAUGAGUAUAUUUUCACAUAAAAGAAACAGAGAAAGCAAAAGAGUUAUAUAUUUUGAGAUAUUUGAAUUUUAGUAAGACAGGGUCAGAAUGAUUUUGGAAUCCCCUGUUCUGACUUUGGAAAAUCAUUAAAAAUUGUAAAAAAAUAGUUAUGAGUUAUAAUAUAUAUGUUUAAAAUCUUGAAAGAUUAUAUUUUCAAGAUAAACAAACAAGAAUGCCAUCCAAACUCUGUACAAUAAGAUAAUUAAUUUUUAGUGAAGAAAGGUCAGAACUACCGAAUAGUGAAAUAGGGGAGAAUUUAAAGAAUAAACUGUACUAAUUGGAUAAGACAAAAAUUAUGAAAAUUUUAUGGUAAGAAUAUAUAUGAGUUUAGUUUCUGGAAAAAUUAACAGAUCUUAAUUUGAAGCUUUGUAGCUUGAGAUAUAAAUAAUUUAAUGACUCUGACUCGGAUAGACAGCUUUGAAUUUACAUAUAAGUAAAUAGUGAAAAUAUAGUUAAUGUUGUUUAAGUGUGUUAUAUACAUUAAGGAUGUGGAAUGGAGAGGAGGAGGCAGACAAUAAAAUAUAUGAAUGAAUUGUUUAUAAAUGGUUAUACGCCCGCUUAUAAUCAGUAAAUGUUAAAUUGAAUGGUAAAUACGUAUUGAUAUUGAAAGAAUUAUUGUGGUAUUGAAAAGCAAUUGAUCAAAUGUUUAAGAAAUUUAAUCAUAGUAUAUAUAUGUGUGGUAAUUUUGAUAUAUUGAUGUAUUUUGGUUGUGGAUUGAUCUUGAUGAUAAAUGUUAGGUAUAUUUGGUCUUUAAGUGACAUAAUUGAGAAGUACGAUAGGUGGGUCAUUUUAUGUGUGAGAUGAUGGUAUGAUUUGGCUUGGUUAAGUAAGUUAAAAGGAUGAUUACAUCAUUGAGAUUGCAUUGAUUAAUUCGGUAACUAGGUGAGGUGAAUUAUGAUUUGUGAAGCAUAUCUAUAUUCGGUAAUAAUAGAUAAAAUAUAUUUAUGUCAUGGGUGAAUGGAUAAACACUUGGGCUAGUAUAAGGUGUAUAUUUUGUAAUGUUAGUUGGUAAUGAAAUAACAGGUUUUGGUUUAACAUCGAAUAGAGAAAAGUUGUACUAUCUUUAUGGCUAAUAUUGAUAGCUAAAUGGGAGAUGAAUAGAUAAUGUAUAUGUGACACUUAGCUUAUGAGAUAUUAAGUAAUUGAUAUAUUACAAUAGUUAAGUAGGAAAAAUGUGACGAUAUGAGAAUAUGUAAUGAUAUGGAUCAAUUCAGGUACUCGUGAUGAAAUCAACAAAUAACUAAAAAUUUAUAAAUUCAUACGACGAGGAAGUGAAAGAUUGUGAGUAUAUUGGGCCACGUAAACCCUAAUUAGUGACUCAAGAAUAACAAUUUGAAAGUUUUAAUUUAGAUGAAAUUUUACAACUUAGUUUAAUACGGUUAAAAGUGUAUGUGUUCUGGUAAUACCUCGUACCCUAUUCCGGCAUCGAAUAUGGGUAAGGAGUGUUACAGAUCUAGGGUUGAUUCUACUUUGUUCGUUACCCCCAUUUUAUUCAACCUUUAGAGAUAUAAUUUUAUAUAGCCGCGAGUCUCUUAUAGUUGAUGAGGUUUAUGAUUCUUUAACCUCGUAUGAUAAGAUGAAGCAUUUUGUAGUUAAAAUCGACUCUCAAGGAGAGGGUCUAAUUGUUCGUGGGAGACAAGACCGAAAUGCUGAUGAUGAUCGUGGAAGGACACAGGAACGGAAUCCUCGCGGUAAAUCUAAGGGUACAUCGAAGUCUUCAAAUAGAGGUAAAACUUGUAACUUUUGCAAGAAGAAAGGGAACAUUAAAUCUAAGUGCUAUAAGCUACAGAAUAAGAUCAAAAGGGAGGCUGCGAAUCAAAAUGGAAAACAACCAAAAAAUUCUGGUAUGGCUGAUGUUGUAGAAGACUACAGCGAUGGUGAACUUCUAGUCGCUUCUGUCAACAAUUUUAAAGUGAGCGAGGAGUGGAUCCUUGAUUCAGGCUGCACCUUCCACAUAAGUCCCAAUCGAGAUUGGUUUACAACUUACGAAACAGUGUCUAAAGGUAUUGUUUUGAUGGGAAAUAAUGCUUCAUGUAAAAUUACAGGUGUUGGAACAAUUAAAGCUAAGAUGUUUGAUGGAGUUGUCAGAACACUUAGUGACGUACGAUAUGUUCCAGAAUUAAAGAGAAAUUUAAUUUCGUUGAGUACUCUUGAUUCAAAAGGGUACAAAUACACAGCUGAAAGUGGGGUUUUGAAGAUUUCCAAAGGUUCCCUCAUUGUGAUGAAAGAGCAGAGAAAGACUGCUAAGUUAUAUGUUUUGCAGGGUUCUACUAUUACUGGUGAUGUAACUGUCAUAUCCUCUUCCUUGUCAGAUGAUGAUAUUACUAAACUUUGGCAUAUGCACCUAGGGCAUAUGAGUGAGAAUGACAUGGUAGAAUUGAGCAAAAGAGGACUUCUUGAUGGGUAAGGAAUUUGCAAACUAAAGUUCUGUGAGCACUACGUUUUUGGGAAGCAAAAGAGAGUUCACCAGAGGAAUCCAUAACACGAAAGGAAUGUUGGAGUAGAUUCAUUCUGAUCUAUGGGGGCCAUCUAAAGUGCCUUCGAGAGGUGGAGCUAAUUAUAUGCUAACUUUUAUUGAUGAUAUUUCCAGAAAAGUGUGUGCAUUCUUCCUGAAGCAGAAAAACGAUGUGUUUUCUGCAUUUAAGUCUUGGAAAACCAUGAUUGAAAAACAGACGGGAAAGUAAAUAAAAUAUCUCCGUACAGACAAUGACUUAGAGUUCUGUUCUGAUGAGUUUAAUAAACUAUGUAAGUCAGAAGGGAUCAUGAGACACUUGACAGUUUGUCAUACUCCACAGCAAAACAGCGUUGUAGAACGAAUGAACAAAACGAUCAUGGAGACAGUUCGAUGUAUGUUGUCAAAUGCCAACUUGCCAAAGUCAUUUUGGGCCGAAGCAGCCUCUAUUACAUAUUUUUUGAUCAACCGAUCUCCAUCCGUUACCAUUGAGAAAAAGACUCCACAAGAGGUAUGGUCUGGUAAUCCUACUGAAUAUUUUGAUUUAAAGAUUUUUCAUUGUCUUACGUAUGCUCAUCUUGAUAAUGGAAAAUUGGAACCGAGAUCCAUUAAAUGUGUUUUUCUUAAAGUUGUGAUUAGCAGAGAUGUUGUUUUUGAUGAAACUACUAUGCUACCUAACUUAUCUCUUAAAGACUCUUCCAAUAAAAAAAUUAAAAGCAGGUGGAGCAUCAGAUUAAUACAUAAUCUACAACAGAGUCGACUACUGAAGCGAGUACAAAAAUUCAAAAUAGAGUUACUUCUUCACCACAAUAAACCUCCAAAGAAGUAUGCCAAGGCUGAUCUAGUUACUUAUGCUUUAAAUGUGGCUGAAGAUAUAGAUGCAAAUCAAGAGCCAUCUAAUUAUUCUGAGGCGGUUAGUUGUGAAGACUCAGAAAAGUGGAUGUUUGCUAUGUAAGAGGAGAUGGAAUCAUUACACAAAAAUAAACAUGGGAUCUUGUGAAACUUUCUAAAGGUAAAAAGGUUGUUCGUUGUAAAUGGGUGUUUAAGAAGAAAGAAGGGACUCCAAGAGUUGAAGAACCCAGAUAUAAAGCAAGACUUGUUGCAAAGGGUUACAGUCAAAUUCUAGGAGUGGACUUCACAUAUGUGUUCUCUCCAGUUGUGAAGCAUAGUUCGAUUCGAGUUUUGCUUGGUAUAGUGGCCAUGCAUGAUUUGGAGCUUGAACAGUUAGAUGUAAAAACUGCACUUUUGCAUGGAGAACUUGAGGAGGAUAUUUACAUGCAAUAGCCAGAGGGUUUUACAGUCUCAAAAAAAGAGGACUAUGUUUGCUUGCUGAAAAAGUCCCUUUACAAUUUGAAACAGUCACCAAGACAAUGGUAUAAGAGGUUUGAUUCUUUUAUAACUUCUCAUGAUUUAAAAAGAAGUAGCUUUAACAGUUGUGUUUACUUUAAGAAAAAUAGUGCUAGUUCUUUUGUGUAUCUACUCCUUUAUGUUGAUGACAUGUUGAUAGCAGCGAAAGAUAAAGGAGAGAUAAGAAAGGUCAAAGCCCAACUAAGUGAAGAAUUUGAGAUGAAAGAUUUGGGACCAGCAAAGAAGAUACUUGGUAUGGAGAUUCUCAGAGAUAGAAAAGUAAGUAAAUUGUACCUAAGUCAAAAGGGGUACAUUGAGAAAGUUCUUUGCAGAUUCAAUAUGCAGAAUGCUAAGCUUGUUAAUACUCUUUUAGCAGCCCAUUUCAGACUUUCAUAUCGGUUUUGUCUCCAUAAUCAGAUGAUGAGAUUGAGUACAUGUCACAUGUUCCAUACUCUAGUGUAGUGUGAUCUCUCAUAUAUGCCAUGGUUUGUUCACGUUCAGAUUUAUCAUAUGCAGGUAGUGCAGUUAGCAGAUACAUCGCGAAUCCCGGUAAAGAACAUUGAAAAGCAGUUCAGAGGGUUUUAAGAUACUUACAAGGUACUAUCGAUGUUUGCUUACAGUUUGGAAGAACUAGAGAUGGAGUCAUUGGGUAUGUUGAUGUUGAUUUUGCUGGAGACCUCGAUAGAUGAAAAUCUCUCACAAGUUAUGUCUUUACAAUCGAAGGUUGUGCAAUCAGUUGGAAAGCCACUUUGCAAACUAUAGUCACUUUAUCUACCACUGAAGCUGAGUACAUGGCGAUUACUGAGGCUUGUAAAGAAGCUAUUUGGUUGAAGGGACUCUUUAGUGAACUCAAUUAAAACCUUCAAAUCAAUACAAUAUUUUGUGACAGUCAGAGUGCCAUCUUCCUUACAAAAGAUCAAAUGUUUCAUGAGAGAACAAAACACAUUGAUGUUCGGUAUCAUUUCAUUCGUGAUAUUAUUGCUCGUGGUGAUAUUGUUGUGAGCAAAAUUAGUACUCAUGAAAAUCCUGCAGAUAUGAUGACUAAGUCACUUCCCGGGCUCGGCCCGGCCCAAAUAUAUAAUAAAUAUUUAUUUUUUAUUUUUUUAAUUUUAAAAUAUUUUAAAAUACUUUUUUAUUUUUUAUUUUUAAAAUAAAUUUUUGGUGUUUAUUAAAAAUGGGCCGGGCCAGGCUUGGGAUUAAGAAUUUUUUCCCAGGCCGGGCCUGGAUAAAAUUUCAGGCCCAUAUUUCGGGCUAGGCCUUGCCCGGGCCUAAGACGCGGGCCAAAAUUUUUUUCUAGGCCCGGCCCAUAAGAACCUCUAAAUAUAUAUAUAGUCUUGAUGUUUAUCAAUAAAAUUUAAGAAAUUACCCUAUCCUUGUCAGAAAGAGUUUAUUUUUAAAAUUUUAUGAGAGUGAAGUUACAACAAGGGUGAACAAGCUUAAGCUUAAAUCAUAUUUUAUGUUGUUAAGACUAUAAUGAAUUAUUUAGUAGACAUGACCUCAUAAACAUAAAAUUGAAUCUAAACUACGUAAUCAAUUAAUUUUAUUCAUCAUUUUACUUCUCCAUUACUUUUUUAAUUUUUAGUGUUUUCUUAACUUGCAACUAACAUACAGCUUAACCCACUACACCAAAACAGGUCUUUAGCGGCGUUUUUUUAACAGGUCUUUAGCAGCGUUUUUUAGGCAUUUAGCGGCGCUUUUUACCGCCACUAAAGGUAUUUGCGGCGCUUCCAAAAGCGCCGCAAAAAAGGCCGCUAACGAAAACGUCGCUAACGUUUGCAGCGUUUACAAACAAAAACGCCGCUAAAGAACAUGAUCUUUAGCAGCGUUUUUUUCUAAGCGCCGCCAAAGAACAUGUUCUUUCGCGGCGUUUUUUAUGAAGCACCGCUACAGAACAUGUUCUUUAGUGGCGAUUUUUAUUAAGCGCCGCUAAAGAACAUAAUCCUUAGCGACGCUUUGUAAAAAACGCCACUAUUUUUGAGAUUUUUUUAUAUUAAAUUUUUCAUUUCUUCAGCCCUCCUGUAGCAACAAAUCAAAAGCAACCAGAUCUAAACCAGCCAAAAGCAAUAAAUUUAUAUAAUAUUUCAAAUUAAACGAAUAAAAUAAUAUUAAUAUCAAUAAAUAAAAGUGAAUUCAUAUUAUUUUUGCAAAAAUGUUAAAAGUUAAAAUGAUAAAAAUAUUUAUGCAAUACACUAUGACGGCGGAAGUUGCGACUGAAACAUCUUCAUCAUACUCUGAAGCUGCUGCUGGAGUUCGUCGUACUUUCUGCUCUGCUCUGUUUCUCUCGCUGCAGCCUCUGCUUUAAGUUGUAACUGGAGUUCUUCAUAUUUCUUUUGAACCUCUGCUUCUCUCGCUGCAGCCUCUGUUUCCCUUGCUGCCGCAUCUACUUUAAGUUGUAGCUGGAGUUCUUCAUAUUUCCUUUGAACCUCAACUGUGGUCGCUUGCAUCUGAGUCAUCUGGUCUUUUAACCUCUGAACGUCAGCUUGAGCCUGACUUCCCGAAGCCAUGUAUUGUUGCGAGCUGGAUCCAAAAUAUUGGGUUUGGAUAACAAAAUAUCCUUGAAAUCGAACCCGACCAUACCUUUUAGGACCCAAAACUUCAGUAAUAAUCCGGUUAUCAAUGUCUUCAGGAUGAACAGAACUAUCACUAGAAAAUAUCACUUCGUACUCCGCCUUUUUAUCCUUUAGUUUUUCCUAAUAAAUAAAUCACAUAGUUAGGAACGCAAUAUAUAUUAAAAAAACAUAUGCAACAUAACAAUAGUCGCAUUACAAGAAAUGAAUUAAACCAUUAGAAAACAAACACUAUAAAUAACUAAAACAAGUCAAAUCGUAUUAAGUAAACUUACUAUUAUUUCACCAGCUUCAGGAGUCAUGGGAGAUCCAUCUUUCUUCCUAUGUGUAAUUUCAAAAAGUUGAAGGCAUCCAACUUUUUGACCGAACGACAGUUCCUACAAUAUAGUAGUAAAAAUAUUAUUUCAUGGAAAGUUAUACAUAUUUUACAAUAUUAAAAAAUUAAAAUACCUCCGCCUCAGCUACACAUGCAAAACUUCUCGACCCGGCUGUGUGAGUGAAUUUCUAUUUCUGCCUGUUGCUUUUUUCAACUAGUUCACGAUCCUACAUUAUGAAAUUUUUAGUACGUAAAUAUUAAAUACUAUAAACCAAAAUAAUUACAAUAGUUUGGAAGUACGUCAUACCUCGCCUUUCUUCGAAUGCCAAAAUCUAACCGUAUCUUCCCAUUGGUACCUCAACAUACCCGGCGGGACAUUUUGCAAUUUCUCAUCGAGGGUUGUUUUUGUCUUAUAAUAAUUUUUCUUCAAAGUACUUUUAUGGUCUCUCUAUCUUUUUCCCAAUGCCUUCUUUACAUAAGCAUCCGAGACAUCUAAAGCAAACCUCGCCUACAAAAAACACGAGUUAAUAAAGUAAAUAUAAAUGAAACUAUUUCCCAAGUAUUACAGAUGACAUUAACAUUUUGUUACCUUAAUAUUAUCGAGGGCUUGGUUUUUUUUGCUAUCGGGCAUUUGAUGCCAUGACUCGUAGUUAAUAGGCAACAUAUUCGUAUUUCGUGCUAAAAUGCCCAUGUAUCCUGCUAAAAGUCGAGCUUCUGAUCCAACAGGCUGACCAAAACUGUUUCGUCCAACUUUGACACGCUCGACCGGAUCUAACUCGUAUAACUAUUUAAGUAGUGUGCGUCCUCGACCUCUGCGCGUCCCACCAUUUUCAGCUACAAAUGGUAAAUUAUAAUAUAAGAAUUUGAAAAAUAAAUCAAUUACAUUUCAACACGCAUGUAAAUUAAAUGUAAAAUUACUUUGAACUUCUGUAGGAUCCUCAGGUGUAAUCAGAACAUUCGAAGAUCUAAUUGCUGUCUGUUGUUCAGUAUUAUUUGUUUCUGUCGAGUUUGGAUCAUUUUGAACAAUGCUUCCCCUUAGAAUUUUUCUUUUAGGCAUUUUAUCUGCAAUACACAUAAAAUAGUUGAAAACUUAAUAACUAAUUACAACAAUAACAACACAUAUAAAAUAGUUGAAAUCUAUAAUAAGACCAAGAUUUAAAUUAUGAUAUUACAUAUAAUUAUACAAUCGUAAAAUCUUACUACAUCAUUAUUCGUAAAUAUCUUCAUCUGUAUCCUGACGAACCCAUUAAAAUUGUGCACUAGUGCUAGGGAUAUUAUCGUUUAAGUUUUGUUCUGGAAAGGGCAAAGUUUCUGAUCUGUCGUCAAUGUUAUCUCUACUUCCACUGCCCAUGUCAAACAAGUCUCUAGGGAUGUUAUGAAGUACAACGUACCAACCCUCAUCAGUUGGAUCUUUUGAGUAAAAAACUUGUCUGACUUGAGAUGAGAAUACAUACGGCUCAUCUAUCAGUUGUUGUCCUGUGUGAAUCAAUCGGGCGAAGUUCACCAUUGUAAAAUCAAAUUGAUCUUGCUUAAUUCCACGAGCAGUAUUAACAUCGGCCCAGUCGCCUCGAAAUAAGACAACUUUCCAUUUGCCAUAGUAAUCCAACUCAAUUAUGUCAGUAAGAAGUCCGAAAUAUUCCACAUUUCCCUCGACAGGAUUAUUGUCCCUAGCACUAGCAUAACUUGUAAUUGAGGAUAUACAACUAUUCCACAAUUUUGCGUUCUCCUCAACCUUUCGCGAUAUUUUGUAUGAAAUCUGAUUCCGUUGAUAAGGAACACACUAUAUCUUUUAACCACUCGAUCUGAACCUUGGGAGAGCCAUUUAAUUUCGUCGUUUACGUUCUUCCCACUCUGAACCUAUUGAAUGGAAAGUAAACUGAGUAAUUAAAAAUGUUAUGAGAAAACAUUAUUAUUUGUAAGCGGAAGCUCCAACUGCAUACCGUUUCGCUUAACCAUUCAUAAAAAGAUUCUGUGAACAACUUAUUGAUAUCUCGAUGUUGUGUUCUUCGGGAGCUCGAACGAGAUCUCAAUAUUUGUUUGUACUCACUAUGUUAAAAAAAAUGUUCACUUUGUUAGAAGAUAAACAAUUUUUAAUUUGAUAAAUAUUUAUCAAUUUUGUAGAACUUACUUCCGUAAAUGUUCAAUUGACUCAUGGUGAAACAGAACAUAUCGAUGUGCUUGUACCCACGAUAAAUGAUCUAAUUUUGCAAUUUCAACUUUGCCGAUUGGUGUUCCAAAACUUUGGAACAAAUAAGUAUCGGCGAAGUUAUGGUCCGUGAGUCCAGCAUUCCUAUUUGGUCUGUUCAACCUUGUUUCAACAUCUUCCAAAUAUCUUGAACAGAAGGUCAUACAUUCCUCUACCAAGUAGUCUUCAGCAAUCGAUCCUUCUGGAUAUCGCUUGUUGCGGCAGUAAGACUUUAAUUUGGAUAAGAACCUAAACACGAUAUAUAACAUUAUCAAAAGUUGUAACUAAAGGCAUAGAGGUGAAUGAAGGAAAAUUUUAAAAAAUUUAAUUAAUACAUUUCUAUGGGAUACAUCCAUCGAUAGAAAAUGGGUCCGCCAAGAAUUGCUUCAUGGGGGAGAUGGAUUAUCAAGUGAACCAUAAUGGUGAGGAAGGAAGGUGGGAAGAUUUUCUCCAUGUUGCAUAAAGUCAAAACGGCUUGAUCCUGUACCUUCUGAAGUUCUUGAACAUCCAAAACUUUGCCACAAAUGGCUUUCAUUAUAUUGGAUAGUUUAAUUAUACAAGACGUUAUCUUCUUGGACAUACAACAUCGUAGAGCAACUGGUAGUAAAUCUUGCAUCAAGAUGUGAUAGUCAUGUGAUUUUAGCGAAUAUAAUCUUCGAUCUUUAACACUAACACAUCAAGAUAUAUUUGAUGCAUACGCAUCUGGAACCUUUAUAUCCUUCAGCACCAUGCAAAACAGUUCUUUCUCCGUCUUAGACAUUGAGAAAAUAGAAGGCGGCAACCGAUAUUUCCCAUUCGGAAGUGAAUUGGGAUGAAGAUCUGGCCGAAUUCCCAUUCAGGCUAAAUCAAGUCGACUCUGAAGAUUGUCUUUUGAUUUUUCGUCGACAUUCAAAAUUUUACCCACAAUGUUCUCACAGACAUUUUUCUCAAUGUGCAUAACAUCAAGAUUGUGUUGUAAAAGGUGAUGCUCCCAAUAAGGCAACUCAAAAAAAAUACUUCUUUUUUUCCUCAAGUCCACCUCAUUAGGAUCGUCCUCUUCAUCGGAGUCAUCAUCAGCUUCAUCAUUUGAUCUUCUGCUUCUUUGCGUGUUUGGCGGUUGGUUCAUCUUCCCAUAAAUGAAAUUCAUAUCUUCCAACAUGAACAAGAUUUCAAAGCCACUGGUCUGCGAAGGAACUUCUCUGAACUCUUCAGUGCCGUCAAAUACAGAACUCUGAAAUCUAAAUCUAUAAUUUUCCGGUAACCACCGACGAUACCCCAUGUAAGAGAACUUCUUCCUAUUGUACAACCAUUGCGAACAUGUUUGUGCAGCACAACAAGGACACGCAUAAUGACCCUUAGUACUCCAACCGGAUAAAUUGGCAUAAGCGGGAAAGUCAUUAAUGGUCCACAUCAAAGCUGCACGUAAAUUAAAGUUCUCCUUUCUCAGCACAUCGUAUGUCUCGACACCAGCCCAUAAUUGUUUUAACUCUUCAAUAAGUGGCUGUAAAUAAAUGUCGAUAUCAUUCCCGGGCCCUUUCUCCCCAGGGAUAAUCAUAGGUAAGAUAAGGGAAGAUUGCUUCAUGCAAAUCCACGGAGGCAGAUUGUAAGGAACAAGCACUACUGGCCAAGUACUAUACGCAGUGCUCAUGAUCUUGAAAGGAUUAAAUCCAUCAGAUGCUAGCCCAAGCCUCACACUCCUAGGAUCGCUUGCAAAGCUUGGAAAUUUAUUGUCAAAUGAUUUCCAAGCUAAAGAAUCUGCUGGAUGCCUUAAUAAUCCAUCAUCGGUUCGUCCAUCAUGGUGCCACGUCAUAGACUCCGCUAUCUUCGACGACAUGAAAAGCCUUUGAAGCCUUGGUGUCAGCGGAAAAUACCGUAAAAUCUUGACUGGCUUCUUUCUUGACUGUGCAUCAUUUUCAUUGUCGUUCCCAUCUUCUGCGUUUUUACUUAUCCAACGGGAGUGGCCGCAUACAUGACAGCACUGUUGGCUUCUCCGAUCGCCCCAAUACAACAUGCAGUCAUUUGGGCAACUAUGGAUUUUGUUGUACCCAAGGCCUAAAUCUUUUAUCAUUUUCUUCAUAUCUUUGCAUGACUGAGGGAUUUUUGCAAACGGAAACAUUUCUCUCAAAAACUCUAACAGCAUUGUCAAAGAGUUUUCAGUCCACCCUCCCAAACAUUUUAAUUGAAAAAGACGAACACAGAAAGACAUUUUUGAAAAUUUUGAUCCCUCAUACAGUUCUUCGUUCAUGUCAUUAAGAAGCACGUAGAACUUCGCCGCUUCUUCAUUCGGCUCUUCAUGAGGUACACUACUUCCCUGUUCGAUAAAAGCAUUUCUCCCAAUAUUACAAUCAUUAGAAGCCACAAAGUCCACUGGGAUCGACUGGACACCAUGAUUGUGCAUAUUAAAUGCAUCCCGCAACAUACCUUCCAUGUCAUCCCCUCUAUCAGACUGAUGGUAAGCAGUACCAGAAUAAGAUACAUCCAUCCUUGAAGAGGAAGUACUAGGCGGGCAUUCUCCAUGAAAUAACCAUUGUUUAUAACCCCGAACAAACCCAUCAACAAUUAGAUGCUCGUACACAACCUCACGAUAAUGCCAGUUUAUGUUCACAAAAUUCUUACAGGGGCAAAGAAUCAUGUUCUCUUGGCUUGCAUAUUGAAAUGCAAAAUUUAGAAAUGUCUGUACUCCAUUUCGAUAAUCGUUGCUUACCCUUGACAAAUUCAUCCAAGACCGGUCCAUUUCUUAAUUCUUAAAGUCUGAUCUUGACAAUAAAUUGCACGGGUUUAGGAUUUAAGAAUAAGUAUAAUUAAGCUAUGUAAGUUAUGUAAGUUAUGUAUUAUGUAAGUUAUGCAUUAAGUUAUUUAUUAUGAAAAUUAUGUAAGUUAUGUAUUAUGAAUAUUAUGUAAGUUGUGAAUUAUGUUAGUGCUGUAUUAUGAUCAAUUAUGUAAGUUAUGUAUUAUGAAAAUUAUGUAAGCUGUGUAUUGUAUAAGUUAUGUAAGUUAUGUAAGUUUUUUAUUAUGAAAAAUAAGUAACUUAUGUAUUAUGAAAAUUAUGUAAGUUCAAUAUUAUGUAACUUAUGUACUAUGAAAAUUAUGUAAGUUAUGUAAGUUGUGUAUUGUAUAAGUUAUUUGUAGGUUAUGAAAAUUUUGUAAGUUAUGUAAGUUAUUUUUUAUGAAAAUUAAGUAAGUUAUGUAUUAUGAAAAUUAUGUAAGUUCAAUAUUAUGUAAGUUAUGUACUAUGAAAAUUAUGUAAGUUAUGUAAGUUGUGUAUUGUAUAAGUUAUGUAGGUUACGAAAAUUUUGUAAGUUAUGUAAGUUAUUUUUUAUGAAAAUUAAGUAAGUUAUGUAUGUGUAUAAUGAAAGUUAUGUAAGUUGUGUAUGUAAGUUAUGUAAGUUAAGUAUAAUUAAGCUAUGUAAGUUAUGUAAGAUGUGAUAGUCAUGUAAUUAAGUUAUGUUUUUAAAAUAUAAACCAAUAUGGCAUUUUUCUUAAAAAAAAAACUGAACAUUAUUUAAAUAAUUUACAUUGUUAUCUUAUAUGAUAGAAAAUUUAAUUCGAAAGUGUCAAAAACCUGAACAUUAUUUAAAUAAUUUAAAUAAUAUUUUAGUUGAGUGGCAAAUAAAAAAGUUUACUAAUAUUAUUAGUUCAAGUUCAAAUCCUACAAUAUUUUUAUUUUUAUUGAUUUUUAAAUUUAGAAAAACUAAUAUAUAUUAAAAAUGGUAUAUUUACAGAGGCAAAGUCAGAAAUUUUUUUAGAAGAUCUCGAAAUUUUAAUAGUCAAAAUAUUCAUAAUUUUAAAAGGACUAAAUCAAUUUUUUAUCAUUUUUAAAAUAUAAACCAAUAUGGCAUUUUUCUUAACAAAAAAACUGAACAUUAUUUAAAUAAUUUACAUUGUUAUCUUAUAUGAUAGAAAAUUAAUUCGAAAGAGUCAAAAAACUGAACAUUAUUUAAAUAAUUUAAAUAAUAUUUUAGUUGAGUGGUAAAUUAAAAAUUUUACUAAUGUAAUUAGUUCAAGUUCAAAUCCUACAAUAUUUUUAUUUUAUUAAUUUUAAAUUAGAAAAACUAAAAUAUAUUAAAAAUGGUAUACUUUAUAGAGGCGAAGUCAGAAAUUUUUUUUAGAAGAUCUCGAAAUUUUAAUAGUCAAAUAUUCAUAAUUUUAAAAGGACUAAAUCAAUUUUUUAUCAUUUUUAAAAUAUAAACCAAUAUGGCAUUUUUCUUAACAAAAAAACUGAGCAUUAUUUAAAUAAUUUACAUUGUUAUCUUAUAUGAUAGAAAAUUUAAUUCGAAAGUGUCAAAAAACUGAACAUUAUUUAAAUAAUUUAAAUAAUAUUUUAGUUGAGUGGUAAAUUAAAAAUUUUACUAAUGUAAUUAGUUCAAGUUCAAAUCCUACAAUAUUUUUAUUUUUAUUAAUUUUUAAAUUUAGAAAAACUAAUAUAUAUUAAAAAUGGUAUAUUUACCAUGAGGCGAAGUCAGAAAUUUUUUUUAGAAGAUCUCGAAAUUUUAAUAGUCAAAAUAUUCAUAAUUUUAAAAGGACUAAAUCAAUUUUUUAUCAUUUUUAAAAUAUAAACCAAUAUGACAUUUUUGUUAACAAAAAAACUGAACAUUAUUUAAAUAUUUUACAUUGUUAUCUUAUAUGAUAGAAAAUUUAAUUCGAAAGUGCCAAAAAACUGAACAUUAUUUAAAUAAUUUAAAAUAUUCAUAAUUUUACAUUGUUAAAUCAAUUUUUUAUCAUUUUUAAAAUAUAAACCAAAAUGGCAUUUUUCUUAAUAAAAAAGGAUUAAAUCAAAUUUUUAUCAUUUUUAAGAGAAGUCGACGUGCAAUUUUAUAUUUAUUAAUUUAAAAUUUUUAAAAUCUUAAAGAGCUUAAAUAAAAAAAAUUCAUUUUAGAGAGUUGAAACUCAUCAGUUUCUUCAAUGAAUAUAAUUUCGAAUACGCUGAAAAUAUAAAUAUAGAAAUAUAAAUAAAUUGUUGCGGGUUAUAACAACUCAGAUGUUUAUAUAAACACGCUGAAAAUAUAAAUAAAUAAUAUAAUAUCAAUAAUAUUAAAUAUGCUGAAAAUAUAAAUAAAUAGUCCCAAAACCAUAUAAUUUAUUAUUGCAAAGCUGAUGAGAAGUCCAUGUAAGAAAACUUGUUUAAGAACAAAACGAACAAGGAUUAGGACAAUCAGAAUUGUCCAACCCUCUUACAUGCAGAACAAUGCAGUAUACAAAAAAACCAAUUCAGAAAACUUGACAUAAAAUAAAGCACGUCAAACUAAAUACAUAUUUCUGCCACAAUCCUUCUAAAUAAAUUUGUUAAUCAGUAACAAAUAGGAAACAUUUGCUUAAUUUCUGUUCAGUCUUUAACUAAACUGUUUUUGUUUGGUUUAUGUUUAACUGUGCAUCAUUUUUUUGUUCAGUUUUCAAAGAUUAUAAUUUAAAUCUAAACAACAUAGCUUAACAUUCAAGUGCAGAAUCUCAUAUGCUUAACAUUCAAAAUGUUUAACAUUCAAAACAUAGCUUAACAUAGCUUAACAUUCAAAACUAUGAUUAACAUUCAAAAUGUUUAACAUAGCUUAACAUAGUUUUCAAAGAUUAUAAUUUUGUUCAGUUUAUGUUUAUGUUUAACCCAAGUGAAGAAACUCAUAUGCUUAACAUUCAAAAUGUGCAAUACGAGAAGACUGAAGAAACUGUGCCAAUCAACACCAUGCUUAAAUGUGCAAUACGACAUAAAUCUAUCAACUCCACAAACUCAUAUGCUUAACUGUUGUGCCAAAACAGAAUACGAAGUAAUGUGUUUUUAAAAAUCAACAAUCCUACUAACCCUAAACACAGAGAAGACCCUAAACUUCCCAAAACCCUAAAAAUCAUUGAACACCGUCAAGAAAGCAUUGUGCGCAUUCCCAAUAUAAAAGAAAUUAAAGCAUUAUAGUACCUUGAUUGCGAUGAACAGAAAUGAAAGCCCCGAACAAACCCUAAACACAGAGAACACUCGCAUUUCAGUUCAUUCAACGGGUAAUCAACAAAUUACAAACAAUAAAUUUAACAAAAACAAGAAAAUGCAACCUUUAAAUACAAAAUAUAAUCACAAAGCAACCUAAACACAAAGCAACAUCAAAUUAACAAAUACCACAAAACCCAAUGUAUAAAAAUUCAGAAUCAGACAUUCGAACCUUAAAUGAUGGUCCUCGACGUUCUCCGUCUUAUUCGCCGCAAAUAAUGUUAAAACGUACCAACAAAUCGAAUGUAUGAAGGUUUUUUAUUGGUAUUUUUGCAAGAAAUCGAAAGAAACAAACAGGAAUAUGAAAGAGAUGAAGAAAUUGGAUGAGGGGAAUUCGAAGACCAUUCACGAAACACUUAGGGAUUUGAGUGAAGGGGAUUUGGGGCUAGGUGCGGGGAUAUACCCCAAAAUUGAUAUACAUACAAAACGACGCCAUUUAAUUUUAAUAAUUUUGUGGCGUUUAAAGAAAAACGCCACUAACGCUACAGAUUUUGCGGCUUUUUGAAAAAAAACGCCAGUACCCAAUAAACUCGUUAACGAUAUGGCGCCGUUUUUGUUCAAUUUCAAUUGUGUAUUUCCGACGUUUUGCGUAGAAACGCCAGUAGAUAUUUUCAUUUCUAAUAGAUAUUACAAUUGGAUAAAUGUUAUGACAUUAUUAAAAAUUUUAACAUUUUAUAAUGAAAUUAUCCCUUUUAUUUCAAUAAUAUUAUUUAAAAAUAUGAUACAGAUUUAAGAAAUUAUUUUUAAUUAUACAAAUUUUAAUAUUUUAUAAUAAAAUUAUCCAUUUUAAUAAAAUAAUAUUACUUAAAAAUAUGAUACAGAUUUAAGAUAUUAUUUUUAAUUAUACAAAUUUUAAUAUUUUAUAAUGAAAUUAUCCAUUUUUUUAUAAUAUUAUUUAAAAAUAUGAUACAGAUUUAAGAUAUUGUUUUUAAUUAUACAAAUUUAAUAAAUUUCUAAAUAUUCAAAUUUAUAAAUACUUAAAUACUAUCAAUAUUCAAAUUUAUAAAUAUGUUUGCGGCGUUUAUCUAAAAGCGCCACUAAAGCAAUACACUGAACCAAAAAUGAGCAUUUUCGGCUAAGGGUUGAAAUGAAAUACAGGAAUAAAAAACGACAGCGUCUUACGAGAAUGCAAGCUUGCGACGUUUUUAUCCUAGCGCCACUAAUGCCGUUAGUAGAUAAGGUAAAACGAAACCGUUUUGUUUAUACCAGAAAGAAACUUUCUGGCACUUCUACUGAAGCGCCGCUAAUGUCUACCUUUGGUGGCGCUUUUCAAAAACGCCACAAUCUGUAUACGAAAAACGGCACCGUUUUAUGUAAAACUUAAAACAUAUUUGCGGCGCUUUAAGGAAAGCGCCACUAUAGACAAUUCCAAACGACGCAGUUUCUUAACUCAUAAUACACUUUUUGCGGCGUUUACAAAAAAACGCCACCAAAAGCAAAGAACAAAACGGUCAUGUUUUGCUAACAUUUUGAGUAACAUUUGUGGCGUUUAUAAACACGCCGCUAAUUUCAUUUUUAAAUUAGAGAGAAAAUAGUAAAUAAUAAAAAAAAGGAGAGUAAUGUAUUUUUAAAAAAUAAUUACACAUUCUAAAAAAUAAAUACAUCAAUGUAUUUUUAUAUUGAAUAAAUUUAAAUAUUUUGUAUGCAAUAUAAAUAAAAAAUUAUUUUAAUUAUAUCAAUAUUUAUGUAAGCUAUUUUACAAUAUCUGGAUCAAACUAAUUAAAAGUUAAUGUAUACAAUUGAACAAUAAAACAUUGUUCAUGUGUGCUUUUGGGAUUUAACCCAUUUUGAUAUAUUUUUGUAAAUAUUAAUUUAUAUUUAUAUUUAUAUUAUUUACAUUUAUAUUCUAAAAUAUCCAAGAUUAAACACAAAUUCCUAAACCCUAAAGUGGAAACCCUAAAACCAUCUAUAAUAGGCUAUUUUUGCCCGGGCCCAAAUAAAUACAUAAUCCAUUUUUACAAAUAACCUAAACCCAUUAACCAAUUGAACCCAAUAAAGACCAAACCAUUAACCCUAGCCCAAUUACAGAGUGGCCCAAAAAGUUCAAAGAUCAGCAGAAACCCCAGGCAGUUUUCCCAACGCCGCACACGUCCUCAUGUCGCAGCAACUGUCCCGUUGCUCCACGUUCUUGCUCGCACGUCCAGUAGCCCCGCACAACGCACGUUUUCCAUACACAUGCAACAAACAAUCGAUAAUGGCAGAAAAUAUGACAAAAAUGUAAAUGGGGGGAAGUUUUCGAGGGCUUGUUUUUUUGAUUCGACUAUAUAAAGGCCAAUCGAUCUUUGUAAUGGGGAGCAAAAUUUUUUUUUGUACCGAAAUCAAAAAGAAAAUAUACAGAAAAAUAUUUUUGAAGGUGGGAUUUGGUUUUAUUUUUCUCUGUUCCUUUACUGUUUUUUUUCAAUUUAUUUUAGUUAUUUUCUUUUGCUUCUAAAAAACAACAAAUAAACAAAACGAGGAAGGGAGUAAAGGGAACUUACCGGUGUGGCGUCGUUGAAGCUCCUUUGUUUCAUCGCCAUAGGAGCAGAGGAGGGCAGAAGGAGAACAUUACGGCGCAAUGUCAAAGAAAGAAAGAAAAUGUUCUUUUUAGGG
Molecule: long non-coding RNA, 50873 nt
Filed under: Gossypium barbadense (sea-island cotton)
Lineage: Eukaryota; Viridiplantae; Streptophyta; Magnoliopsida; Malvales; Malvaceae
Description: long non-coding RNA (GBAR_LNC015165)
Source: RNAcentral